AUAAAGUUCGAAUUGACGAAAUUAUCCGUAAAGAUGUUUAAUUCUGCCGUUAGAAAAGUGGGAAGAAGUAAAUAUACCAAAUUGACAUUUCGUUUUUAUUCAAAUGGACAAGUCAGAAGUACCAUAGACAUUGUAAUUAUGCAAUUAAAUGGCCUUGCCAAAAAUAACCAUUUGCUACAGAAAAGUUCAUAUGCGACAGCCUAAAGAACAUUAAGGUCAAAAUUUACCAGAACCAGUCUUGCCCCUUCUUACCUACUAUUAUUCUGCUCUCAAUUUCUUCAUCAGAAAACUGAAUUUUGCAUCUGCAUCACAUAUUUUCUUUCCUCUACAGGUCCUCUCUCAGAUGCGUGGGCCUCGGUGAACCUCGACCACCCGGCGACAUUUGGGACACUGGCCAUGGACCUAGAGCUCAAGAAGACAAUCAUGGACGAUCUCGAGAGGUUCGUGAGGAGGAAAGAGUACUAUAGGAGAGUAGGCAAGGCGUGGAAGAGAGGGUACUUAUUGUAUGGACCCCCCGGCACAGGGAAAUCAAGCCUGAUUGCGGCGAUGGCCAAUUACUUGAACUUCGACAUAUACGAUCUAGAGCUGAGCGGGCUCCGGAGCAAUGCGGAGCUCAGGAGACUGCUUGUUGCCACCGCGAAUCACUCCAUAUUGGUGGUCGAGGACAUCGAUUGCACCAUUGAGUUGCAAGAGAGGAAAUCCGAAACCCGAGCCGCGCGCAUGAAUAUGAUGUCCACUGACUAUCCACGAGAAGAUGUACAGUUUUUUUUUUUCUUUUUGGCUUUCAUUUUUGGUACAAGGUUAACUCCAGUUGCAUGCUAUGCAUGUGAUUUGUUCUUGACAUUUAACUUGUCUGUUGCUACGAUAUUAAUUUUUGUAUCAUGGAACAGCUGACGCUGUCUGGAUUCCUCAACUUCAUUGAUGGGCUUUGGUCGAGCUGUGGUGAUGAGCGGAUCAUAAUCUUCACUACCAACCACAAGGAGAAACUAGACUCAGCCCUAUUGCGCCCAGGGCGCAUGGAUGUGCACGUUCACAUGUCCUAUUGCACCCCCUGUGGAUUCAAGCUUCUUGCUUCUAAUUAUCUCGGGAUUGAUCACCACGAGCUCUUUGAUCAAAUCGAGAGUUCGAUCACGGCAGCAAGAGUCACUCCAGCCGAAGUAGCAGAGCAGUUGAUGAAGAGCGAUGAACCAGAGGUCGCUCUCAAGGACUUGGUUUCCUUCCUCGCUGAUCACAAGAGGAAAGAAACUGAAGAAGUCAUAAAGGAGAAAGUUUGCCAGUGCCAGUUGGUUGAAGAAAAUGGAGGAACUGAAGAGGAAAGUGAUAAGUGCGAAAUAAUUGAAGAAUAACCAAUACAUAUCGACUAUGUUGAUAUGUUUUGAUCGAUUUUAAUUUAGAUUAUCAUAAAGAAAGUGAUCAUUGAAUAUAAAGUAAUUGUAUGAAGUCACUGCAUGGUCAUCCAAAUGAUUAAUUAUGUGAGUCAAAUGGUAAAAUUAGAUGGUCAAUGGUUUAGACGAACUCGAUUUACAUGGCUUGUCAACCAUGCGAUCUUUUCAUGAUCGAAUAUUCAAAUCAUGCUAAUAUUAUAAUUUGCUUUAUAUAGUUAUAUCACGUCAAGGACACAUAAUGUGGCAUACUAGUUUUCUCAUGGUUUGGACCUUCCACGGAAUCUCGAAUAUGCUUGGGUUGGCUGAAAGCAUUAUUUGUCUGAGCUUGGAUUCUAAUGCAAUUGGACUCAACCUAAUUCUCGAUGGGUUCCUAGUCAUCCGUUGCAAGAGUCAUCUCAUGGGUACAUGCUUCUUUUCCUAGGAACAUGACAAGUUUCGCAAAAGCAGAACGAGCUAGGAAAGGUUCCCUACUAGCAUCGGUCGUAUUCGCAUCGUGCAGUGGGAUUUAAGGAGAGAGCUUUAAGUAGAUCAUCCUAAAACGGAGCUAACUUACUUCGAGAUGCGACCAUUGAAUAAGAUAAAUGCACGGGAUCGGUCGAUCUGAUUUGAAUAUUUGCCGCCACUCCGCAAAAGGAAAAGGCCAAGACCGGCGCCCCGUCGGGGCAAGAACGAAAGCCUACCAAGGCUUGGACUAGGAACACUCCAGGCCUCUGAACCAGCUCAGUCAACAAGGAAUCCAUGCAUUUGUAGAGAGUUCAUUGUUGAUCUCCCAUUCACAUCCCAAAAAAUUCUACAAUAACGGGUCGAUCUCCAAUUCUCUUAUUCAUCGCCACUUUCAUCUCCUGAUUUCCUCCGGUCAUAUACCGUCUGUCCCCCAUAGAUUGAACUGAAAAGAGCGGCGACCCCUGCUCCGAACGACUCCAACAUCGCGGUGGCCAAGGCUGUGCUGUCUGCCGCGGCCUCCGUGAUGGUGGUGCAGUCGGUGGUUCGACCUUCGUCCCUCCCGAGUUCCAGGGCUUCCUCUUCUCUAAGAUCCAUGGCUUCUUGUCUCGCUUCUGCAACGAAAUGACCAUGGUCAUCGAACAGUACGAUGGGUACGGACAAAACGACCUCUUCGGGACGGCCCAGAUUCUCCUGGCCACCAAGCAAUCCCUUUCGAUGCAGCGCGUGCGACUGACCAAGUCCCCGAAGGAGAACCACUUCACUCUGGCUAUGGACCGGAAUCAAAUGCUGGUGGAUACGUUUCACGGGGUCAAACUCAAGUGGAUUUUCGUGUCGAGACAGGUCGACUUGGGCCACCAAGUCCAUCAAGGCUCCACGGUUCAGCACGAAGUUCAGUACUUCGAGCUUAGAUUUCACAAGAAACACAGGGAGAUCGUGGUCAAAUCCUAUGUGUCUUUCCUCAUCGACAAGGCCAAGUCCAUAAAGCAGGGGAAGAAGACGCUGAAGCUAUGCACUCCGGGCUCCGACGGCAAUUAUCUUUAACUAUGUUCAAUUCUACUAUUAGAAUUUAGGAGUGAAAAGCUGUGAUGCUAAAUUCACAAAAACUUCGUUCAAUCGGACUAAGUCGGAAGUAUCAUAUAAAGUCCGGCCAAAAAUAAGUACUAGCUACAUAAAAGUUAAUCAGUAAAAUCCUAAAGCACAUUAAGAUCAAAAUUCACUCGAACCAGCUCGCACCUUCUUAUCUAUGAUUAUGCGCUCAAUUUCUUCAGCAGGAGACCGAAUUUUGUAUCUCCAUCACAAUUUGUUUCCUCUAAAGGUCCGGGCCCGGGCGCGUGGUCCUCGGUGAACCUCGACCACCCAGCAACAUUCCAGACAUUGGCCAUGGACCUAGAGCUCAAGAAGAAGAUCCUUGACGAUCUCGAUAGGUUCGUGAGGAGGAAGGAGUACUACAGGAGAGUUGGCAAGGCGUAGAAAAGAGGAUACUUAUUGUACGGACCCCCUGGAAUGCGGAAAUCGAGCUUGGUCGCCGCGAUGGCCAAUUACUUAAACUUCGACAUAUACGACCUAGAACUGAGUGAGCUCUGGGGCAAUGCGGACCUCAGGAGAUUGCUCGUCGCCACUGCGAAUCAAUCCAUAUUGGUGGUCGAGGACAACGAUUGCACCAUUCAGUUGCAAGAUAGGAAUUCAGAAACACGCGCCGCCAGCAUAAAUUCGAUGUUAAUCGGUUAUCAGCGAAAAUAUUAAGUACAAUUUCUUCUUUUAUGCUUUCUUUUUAAGUAUGAGGUGUAGUUCAAUUGCUGCAUACUAUGAAUACGAUUUGUACUUGACGUUUAACUCAUGUUUGUACCUACGACAAUAGAUUUUUUUACUGAUGGAAUAUGUGAUGUUGUCUGGAUUUCUCAACUUCAUCGAUGAGCUUUGGUCAAGCUAUGGCAAUAGGCGAAUCAUAGUCUUCACGACAAACCACAUUGAGAAACUAGACCCAACUCUAUUGCACCCGGGGCGCAUGGAUUUGCAUGUUCCCAUUUCCUAUUGCACUCCUUGCGGGUUCAAGCUUCUUGCUUCUAAUUAUCUCGAGAUCGAUCAUCACAAGCUCUUUGACCAGAUCAAGAGCGCAAUCGUGACGGCUAGAGUCACUCUGGUUGAAGUAGCGAAGCAAUUGAUGAAAUGCCACAAAUUGAAGGUUGCUCUCAGGGACAUGAUUUCCUUCCUCACUAAUCACAAGAGGAAAGAAAAUGAAGAAGUCAUCAAGGAGAAAGUUCACCGGUCUCAAUUGAUUGUAGAAAUUGAAGGGAGCGAAGAAGAAAGCAGCAAGGACGAGCCGAUAGAAAAAUAAAUAAUACAUAUUGACUGUAAUGAUAUGUUUCCAUUGAUUUUAUUCAAAUUAUUAAAAAGUUCUUUGUUUUCAACAUGAUGAUAUAUGACAACUAGACUCGUCAUGUUGACGAGUUAGGUCGGUUCGAAUCGGAUCGAAAAAAGUCGGACCCUAAAAUGCAAAUUUGGCAACCCAUGUUCAAUAUGAGUCGAGAUCUACUUUAGCAAUUUUUUUCCCUUAAAUCGUGGUCUUUAAAGAAUAGGUGUCUUCAUGGACCGACUCGUUAAGUUAGUGAGGGAGCUCGGAGUUCAGUUAUAGAUGAUAGUGUUAAAAUGGUGGUGAAAGUCUGGCCUAGGCCAUCCAUAAAUCAUGAAACAGGUUUGGCUUUUGAAGUCAUUUCUAGUAAUUUGUAAAAUUUUAAAUGACCAUACGCAACUAGGCCCAUAGAAAGUGAAUUGAAGAAGGGGUUCACAUCCUUAUAUCUUGCUCUAAUGCAACUCGUCUUUAUGGGCAUAUUAAACUCCUGAACCCAGUAGCUGAUUAGUAAGAUUUUCUCCAAGUCACGAAGAAGGAAUUAUUGGACUUGAGUAGGUCCUUAAAAGUCUCAAGGACAAAGAAACAAGUGGGAAAUUCAUUUUGUAGUAGGAGACUCUACAAUGUCACCUUCAUACUCUCACUCAUUCUAAAAGAAAAGCCUGACUGGGAAUCAAGGGACCUAUCGGUGGUGGAGAUAGACACCACGUUCGUAUAUCUCAGUUCCGUUGAGUAGGAGAGUAUAAUAGCUCCUUAAACCUGAGGUGAGGUAGGGUGGCUUCAAAAGCACUGCUCAAGCCUAUCGACUGGCUGCUCACCUUGUACCCUUCGUUAAUAGGUGAGCACACGCCACAACAGCCGAUGAUUGGCUAUAACUUUUCUCUUCCUCACGCUCACGACAAGUGUAAGCUAAUACCGAAUAAACCCUUUACAAACUAGCUGUGAUUUAACUGGCCGAACCAAUUAUUCAAGUCACCAUCGCUGAAGAUUCCUGUACAACUAAUGGGAAAAUCAGAAGGGGGAAUUCAGAUGGACAUUUCAUCGAGCAUGUGCGCGACAACAUGCAUAUUUCCAAUGGAAGAACCCAUUGCUCAUUCGGUAAAGUAAUUUGGUCGCAAUGAUAGAAGAACAAGCAGCAAAAAUAAACUUUCCGAAUUGAACUAACCACUUGAGCAACUUUUAGAAGAAACACAUAGAAGGGCCAUAUGAAUGCUUUACACAAAACAUAAUUUUAAUGUAAAUUGUGAGUUGGAGUAUGAAUAUGACCCAAAUAGAAACAUUGAAAUAAAUAUGGCAAAAAUGGUUUUCGACAAGCCUCGAUCUUUAAACCCUGCCAAAAUAAAAGAAAAAAUAAUGACUAGUGCUUAACGCACUUGAGUUAAAUCGUCCAACAUUAAUAAAUUGAACGAAAUUUUUGACUACCUUUUGAAAGAUGGCCUAACGAAAUUAACCGAAAACCGUGUAAUUCCAAAUAAAGAAGAUUUAGUAAAAACAAAAAUAUUGCAAGUGACACCAUACCAUAACACUAUUGAUUAACACUAUUGAUUUUGUUAUUUUCAAUAGUUCAAUUAAGUAGGGAAAAAUCAAAUUUGAUGAAUAAUUGAUGACCGUUGAUUAUUUAAUUUGAAAAAUCGAAUGGUUGAUGAAUCAUUCAAUUCUUUAUAAAUGUUGACAUCAAAAAAUGACCAAACUUUUAAUUAUUAUUGACAAAUGAUAAACUCAGUUGAUGGAGACACUAUAUCAAAACGAUCGACAAACUUGAAGAAUAAAAAACACGCUAGUGAACUUUUUGACCACACACAACAUGAAAGUUAUCGAUAGGAGCUCUCAUCUAGACUUGAGAAAUGGAUGGACAAAGUCAUAAGCAAUGAGCAAUCAACAUAAAUAUAACUAUUGGGUAAUUAUAUCUAUUGCCACUAACUUAGGAUUUUUGUUUCUUGCAUAUAAGCAUUGCCGAAUAAAUUCUUAUAAAUAAGUGUUGCAUGGAGUAAAUUCUCAUAAUCGCUAAUAGGAUUUCUAUGAAUUGAAAAGGUAUUGUUCUAUAUUGUCAACAAUGAGCUAUAAAUACCCACAUUAUACUCUUGUAAGGGAUCUCCGUCAAUCAACGAACUCAAGUUUUUUUUUUGCAAAUAAAUCUUUAUCUUACAUAAUCGGUAGAAAUUGCCAACAAUUUCCAUAACUCUAGAUACUGUCAUUUUACUUUUCUAACCAAAAUCAACUAAAGACCUUUCACAAUAUUUGUCGAUUCACUUAGUGAUACCUUUCAAUGAGCCGGAUUCUAAUUAAGAAGGGGUAAGGACAUAUGAGGUCAUCACUUGGGUAAUCGGAUGAGAUUUAUGUCUGAUGUAAUCAUUUAGGCUGCGUUUGGUCGUUCAUAUUUCUAUUAGGAUAUGAAUGGAUUGGAUAAGAUAUGAAAUCCUAAGAUAUUUUUAUAUCCAGUCCAUUGUUUGGUAAAUCGUAGUAUUAAAGUUGGAUAUAUUCACAUCAUAUCAUGUACAUUUUAUUUAUUUAUUUAUGUAAAUGGCAUAUCAUUAUAAAUGAAUCUAAAUGUUCAUAAACAAAGAUGGUGAAAAUCUCUUGUAACAUUAUUCUUUAAUUUAUUUUUAAUUUAUUUUUCCUCUUUUUUAAUUUAUUUUCUUUAUUAUUUCUUUUUUUCCCUUUCAUCAUUAUUUAAUAAAUUUGAUCAAAUAGUAAACUAUACUAACAUACCUAAAAUACAAAAAUACCUAAAAUAUAUAAUAAAUUUAGAUAUUUAAUUUAUAGAUUGAAUGUUUAUUAUAAGAUAGAAUUAAAGUUGAAUACAUAAAUUUAAAUAAGAUUAAUUUAAAAUAAAUUUCUAUUUUUUUCAUUUUUAAUUUCUUAAAUUAGAAUUCAAAUUAUUAUUUAUAUUGAAAUAUAAUUUUAAUUUUGUUAAUUUAAUAGGUUUGUUAUUCGAGAAAAAUUUCUUUUCUAUUAUGGAUAUUAUAAAUUAUAUCCACAUUUAUCACACCUCUUCCAUGAAAUAAUUUUAUCAUGCCUAUAUCCCCCUUAUAUCCGACUUUAUCCUAUUCUGAGUGAGCACCGAAUAUAGGAUAGGAUAAAUCAUAUCCUAUUCCAAAUUUUAUCUUGACUGUCAAACGUAGUCUUAUGGAUUGCCCCUAUGACACAACUGGCUUUUGCAAAAGCAGAGAAAAGUGUCCAACUAACGCCGGUCCUAUUCGCAUCGGUGCAGCGCGAGUCAUGGGGGAAUCGAUAAAUAAAAAUAUUCAAGAUGUACGUGAUUGACAAAAUCGAUACCGCGUUUGGAACCCCAUAACUUUUCUUGUCAAUUAAACUCAACUUUAAUUGCUCUAGCCAAUCAGUAAACAAGUUUAUAUACUGCCGAAUUAAACUAAAAUUGAAUCGGAAUGUGCCGUGGACAAGUGGCCUUUGCCUUAUCAUCUGGUCUCCCCUUCACCCUCUAGAACUGCACAGCAAGAUAUCGAUCUCCCGUUCUCAUAUUCAUCGCCAAUUUCAUCUCUCGAUUCCCUCCGGUCGAGUGCCGUCUAUACCGGAGAGAUUGGACUGGAAAAAGAACGGCGACCCCAGCUCCAGACUACUUCAGUAGCCCUGUUGCGGUGGCCAAGGCAGCACCAUCUGCUGUGGCGUCCGUCACGGCCACUGCGAUGGUGCGGAUUUACAAUAUCAAAUUCGUAAGAAGAAUCAAAUUUUUGUUUUGACAAUUCAAUUAUAUUAUGUAUGAUGGUGCAGUCGGUGGUUCAACCAUUCCUCCCCCGCGAACUCAGGGCUUCCUCUUCUCCGGGAUCCGCAGCUUGCUCUCUUGCUUCUCCAACAAAAUGACGAUCGUCAUCGACGAGUAUGAUGUGAUUAACCCAAACGAGCUCUUCCAGGCAGCCCGGGUGUUCUUGCCUGCCAAGCAAUUCCUUUCGAUGAGGUGAGUCCCAAUGACCAAGCCCGCGAAGGAGGACGGCUUAACUCUGGCUAUGGACCGAAAUCAAAUGCCGGUGGAUACGUUUUGUGGGAUCAAACUCAAGUGGGUUUUUGCGUUGAGACGGGCAACCGAGGCCUGAACUCGCCGCCGCCGCAGGAAGUUCAGUAGCUCACUUUUCACAAGAAACAUGAGGAGGUCGUCCGCAAGUCCUACCUGCCUUUCCUCGUCAGUGAGGCCAAGUCCAUAAGGCAGGAGAACAAGGCAUUGAAGCUAUACACUGCGAUCUUCGACCGCGGCUAUGGCAGUAAUUAUGGUCGAACAUUAAGUUGGAAUCAACGAAACCAUCAGUAACUACUUUCAGUUCUACUAUUAGAAGUGUGGAAAGGAGUAAAAUACUAAAUUUACAAAAGUUUUCAAUUAAGUCAGAUUGGCCAAAAAAGACAGAAGAACACUAGGAGUACUAGAACUUUUGUACAAUACUCACUUUAGUACCAAAACUUUUUUUUUUUUCGCUCAAUUGAGUAUCACAUCAGAGUAAAAUUGAACACUUAAAUGCUAAUUCCAACAAAUCAUCCUACUUGGAUUUUUUUGAUUUUAUUUUGAUUUUGCUUUUUGUUUUUUUUUUUUGGCUUUUUUCCUUUAGGGUUGGUGAGGGUCACCGAUAACUCUCGUCAACUGCAAAACCCUCACCCUCAGUUGCAAAGGCCCUGGGCAAGGUCAUCGAGGCCUCACUCGUAGCCGGCAAGGUCGCGAUGCCCUCGCAAGCUUUGGGUGGCGUCACCUAUAGUCAGUGAGUUUGUGACACCCUUGCCUAGGGCCUUUGCGGUGAGGGUGAAGUGGCCCUCUCCAAGAUCUGGUCGUGAGGGCCCUAGGCGAGGACAUCGUGAUCUCACUGAUCCUAGGUAAGGUGAUGUUGCUUGCGACUGCCUAGAGCUAGCAAGGGCCCUUGUGGCCUCGCCAGUAGCCAGCGAGGCCUCAAUGGCCUCGCGCAAGGACUUCAUGGCUGAGGGUGAGGGGUUCAUUGUUGGUGAGGGUCAUAGGUGACCCUCAUUGGCCCUAAAAAAAGGAAGCAAAAAUUAAAAAUUAAAAAUUAAAAAUAUUGAAAAUAUAAAAAAAUUGUCCACAUCAUACCAGUGAAGCCAUGUUAGACAACUUUUAUCGUCACGUUGGAUGGCUGGUGUCCAUGAGGCAAAUUGGAAUUAGUACUCAAGUGAUCAAUUUUUUCAAAUUUGUGACAUUUAAGUAAGUGAAAUGUUUUUGAUACUUAAUUGAACACUAUACGAAAGUUUUGGCAGUUCUGAUAUCUUUAUUCAGGUCGAAAAAUAGGUACUUGCUACAGUAAUGUUUUUUUUUUUUUUUUUGUGCCAGAGGAACCGCUUUGGCCGACAGCCGCCACGUAAACCCCCAGAUGACGCUAGCCCAUGACCCACCACCAGGACGUCACACGUAAUACACCUAAUGGUCUGCCAGCCUCCCUGCAACUUGCGUUGCAGGGGUUUUGAACACCUGACCUUUCCCUUCAAAGGCAGGAGCCUACCUAGCAGAGCCACCACGGCCGGUGGUUUGCUACAGUAAUGUUCAUACGCAGUAUCCCAGAAAACAUCAAGGUCAACAUCCACUAGAACCGGUCUUGGACCUUCUUAUCUCCUAAAAUUCUGCUCUCACUUUCUUCAACAGAAAACUGAAUGUUGAAUCUCCAUCACAAAUUUUUCCCUCCGCAUGUCCUUUCUUAGGUGUGUGGGCCCCGGUGAAUCUCGACCACUUGGCGACAUUCGAGACUCUGGCCAUGGACCUGGAGCUCAGGAAGAUGCUCAUCGACAAUCUCGAGAGGUUUAUGACAAGGAAGGAGCACCACAAGAGAGUCGGCAAGGUGUGGAAAAGAGGGUCUUAUUGUGCGGACUUCGGCACAGGGAAAUCAAGCCUGGUCGCGAGGAUGGCCAAUCACUUGAAACUCGACAUAUACCAUUAGAGCUGAGCGGACUCCGGAGCAAUGCGGACCUCAGGAGGCUGCUCAUCAACACUGGAAUCAGUCCAUAGUGGUGGUGAAGGACAUCGGUUGCACCAUGAUGUUGCAAGAUAGGAUGUUAGAAACCCAAGCGACACGCAUGGAUAUUACGUCAACGCGUCUUUUUUGCAAGAAAAUCAAGUACGAUCUUCUUUUUAUUUAGCAUAAGCUUUAGUUCAAUUGUUUCGUAGUGUGCAUAUUAUCUGUCUUUGACAUUUAACUUAAGUUUGUCAUUACAACUUUAACUUUUUACAUGGAAGAGGUGACAUUGUCGAGAUUCCUCAACUUCAUCGAUGGCUUUGGUCAAAUUGCGGCAAUGAGCGGAUCAUAGUCUUCAUGAUGAACCACAUGGAGAAAUUGAACUCAACCCUGUUGCGCCCAGUUUGCAUGAACCUGCACAUUCCUAUGCCUUAUUGCACCUUGUGCGGGUUCAAGCUUCUUAUUUUUAAUUAUCUUGGGAUCGAUAGCUGUGAGCUCUUCGACCAUAUUGAGAGUUUGUUCGAGACAACUAGAAUUGCUCUUGCCGAAGUAGUGGAGCAGUUGUUGAAGAGCGACGAACAAGAGGUCACUCUCAGGGACAUGGUUUCCUUCCUAGUUAAUCACAAUAGGGAAAAUAAUUAAGAAGUCAUUUAGGAGAAAGUAUGUCAGUGCCAAUUGGUCGAAAAAAUGGAUGGAGUGAAAAGGAAAGCAGAGGUUACGAACUAACUGAAAAAUAGAUAAGAGAUAAGGAUUGUGCCGUCCAUCGAUUUUAAUUAGAUUAUUAUAGAUUUUUUUUUUUUUGUAUAAAGAAAGAUGAUAUGUGUGACAACAUUGGAAAUUACAAUUUAACUUGGUUUACUUGCCUUAAUAUCUUUCUUUGAUUGUUAUCAACCUUGGCCAAUUGGACCUAAGUAGGUCUUUAAAAGGCUCAUGGAGGAAACAAGCGGAAAAACCGCCCUGGGGUGAGAGACCUCGCGCUGUCCUCCUAUUUUCUCUCUAUCGGGAAGACACAAAUAGAUAGAGAAUUAUGGAGCCUCAUGCUGGUGAAAGUAGACACCAUGCCAGGAUUUCAGUUCUGGCUACUACCAGAUAGGCAGGUAAAGUAGCUUCUGAUGCCUGGAGUGAGGGAGGGUAGGUUAAAUGCCUACAGUUGGGUUGACAUGCCUUAGGGCACUGUCCUUAACCAUAGGUUGACCCAGUUAUCCCGGUUGAGGACAACGCUAUUCCCCCGGCCGUGAGAUUGCAACUUGUUUUGAAGAUCCAAUAGAUCUUAAACAUAGGCAAUACUUGAGAGAAUCGCUGAUUUUUAUGUAGUAAUUUUUCAAUUCUAACAUGAAGUAAAAUUUACGAUAAGAUGCGUGGACAUUUCACCGAAAAAAGUAAUUAUUAUUUUUUUUGGUGGAAAUGUAAUUAAUUUACUCAGUAUCAACCAUGGAAUGCUAAUGUAUUGAAAUGAAAGUUCUUAAUUCAUCUAGCCUAAUUUAUUGAAUCUCUCUGAUGCAAUAGCUUCAUAAGAAAUUGAAUCAAGAGGAUUCGAUUCCUUUAUACCAAUGUGUCAGGGAGAAAGUAUUCUACAUUGUUCGUCUUUCCUCAAAAAAAUUAAGAGGUAUUCUAGGAUGAGAGUGUGUUUUGUAUCCUCAGCGUACACUUUGUCGACUUUCCUGUCACUGUCACUGCGGUAUCUUGUUCCCCCUGCAUCUCCCACAGGACCUCUUUCGUUUUCUUCCUCUGUUAUGCAACAACCGUUUCCAGUCCCCUUGGAUCCUAGCAGAGCAGCAUCUGACGGAGACAGCACAGAACUCAUAUGCCUUAAUCUGUCAUUGUCAAGAAGAAUAUGUCUUCUUCUCGUCCCAGGAUUUCCUCUGCUAGAAUGAACUGCUUCCCAUGAUACGGUUUCGCCUUCGAAAAGGAUGAACCUUCCAUGCAGGUAAUCAUUUUCAGAUCCAUUCAGCCAGUCUACAGUAGCAUUCUCCUCCAGGAAGUUGGCAGCAGUUCCAGGAGUUAAUCUCUUCUCGUGGUUGGCCUCACCGCAAUCUCUUCUCGUGGUUGGCCUCACCGCCAGCACAGUCUCAAAUCCUUUCCCAGUUCUUCUUCGGAUGGAAUCUACUGCUGUUCAAUCAGUACCUAGAAAAUCCUUUUUCUGGCCUCCCCAGCUCAAGGGACAAGUCAACCAGCGAUGAUAGCGAGGGCCAUCGAGAGAACUUACCACAUGCAGCGAUGCUUGACAUCAUGUUCAAUCUUUUAAGCUCAGCUUCUGAAGUUAAGAUAUGCUCCUUUCCACUGCUUUCUAAGUUAUAAUCCGUAGCGCUCAAUCCACUCUGGCGAUCAAGGUAUAUUAUCGUUCAUUAGUACUGUUGUAGCAUGUAGAAACGUGCCUUAAAACUCUUGCCUUGAUUCUGAUGCCAUCGUUAAUCCACAGCACAGAAAUCAGCAAAAACAUACAUGGAAGAUUCAAGAUGCCCACUAAUUUAUAUCCGAUGAGGUGAUUUUGUAAAUAGUUUUCUACAAGAAAAGCCAAUGACAGAAUGAAUUUUGCAUCAAGAUUUCUCCGGCUUUUGCACAUGCCUUCUAUUCACAUGCAUUAUCCAUUAGUUCAUCCAGAGAUAAUUCUAGGCCUACCAUCUAUAUGUGGAUGAAUUCUCCUGGCGCAUGCCUAAUCUCACGUGCAAAUGUAUGUACAGCGCAUCCCCAUUAGAACGCCCAUCAUUAUCAAUAUUGGCAAAGAGGGACCUGUAGCACCUCUAGAUUGUCAAACAGAACGAAAAGUUCACUGCAACCGUAUGACAUAAUCAGAAAAAGAUGACUAUGGAAGGGGAAGGAUGAAGGCAAAGACACAGAUGACUAUCAGCUGCACUCGGAUGCGCUGAACCAAUCACUAUGGUCCAGAGGAGAAGGCAGAAGCAGUCCCAGAAGAGUGAGAGAAACCAUCAUUCAUCAGUGGAGAAUGUAAUCUCCGCUCCCUCUGCAAAUUCUUGAUUAACUGAAUCUAACAGAUUCACAGCCAUCUGUACCUGGAGACACCUCUUCCGGAGAGACUAUUUCACCUGGACAAUGAACCAGUCAUACCCUUAUCAACAGGCUGAAUCUUGACGUACAUAAUAGGUUGAGCCAUAUUCUUAAAGUUCCUAUUGCAAUUCUUUCAAUAACACAAGAAAAAAAAAUCACAGAUUUAAGGAAGAAGAUGAAAUUGGUUGUUGUACAGUAGAGAUAAUUAAGGAAUGUCGUGCAUUUUUUAGUGGAGAGUGGGGUAGGUAACUUCUUGCUUUCUACAAUUUUAUCUAUUUUCUUUAGCCAAAUUUCACUUCUUCUUUUUUUCCUCUCUUUAACACUUAAUUGCAUUAUAAUAUUAAAAGAACGUGAAGACGAGGGAAAACUGAGAAACUUACGGUAAGAUAAACUGAUGUUUUAGCCCGUAUUUAUUGAUAUUCAUACCCUUUUCUUCAUGGCACUAUCGUUACGGGGGAGAAUUAUGAAAAAAGUCAUAAAUCUAUUAUAAUCAUGCCAAUUCAGUCAUAAUUUUUUUGGGGUCAAUUUGGUCCUAAACCUUUUUACAAUUGUGCCAAUUAAGUUCAUUUGGCCAAAAUUGGCCGACCGACACUGACGUGGAUACCGGCCGAUGGACGCUGAUGUGGCAAUUUUUUGAUAUAUAUAUUUUUUUAAAUUUUGAAUUUUUUUUUGCUUUUUUUCCCCUUCAUCUCCUUCCUUUGGCCGGUCAACAUCGGCUAGAGGCGAGGGCUGGUGAGGUUUGGUGAGGUAGUUGACCUCGCUAGUGGCCGGCAAGGCGGCCGUCGCCAAAUUUAGCGAGGCUCGACCUUGCCAUGGUUGGGUGAGGCCGAGCCUUACCAGUCUUGCCCCUUCUUAUCUACUAUUAUUCUGCUCUCAAUUUCUUCAUCAGAAAACUGAAUUUUGUAUCUGCAUCACAUAUUUUUUUUCCUCUACAGGUCCUCUCUCAGAUGCGUGGGCCUCUGUGAACCUCGACCACCCGGCGACAUUCGGGACACUGGCCAUGGACCUAGAGCUCAAGAAGACAAUCAUGGACGAUCUCGAGAGGUUCGUGAGGAGGAAAGAGUACAAUAGGAGAGUAGGCAAGGCGUGGAAGAGAGGGUACUUAUUGUACGGACCCCCGGCACAGGGAAAUCGAGCCUGAUUGCGGCGAUGGCCAAUUACUUGAACUUCGACAUAUACGACCUAGAGCUGAGCGGGCUCCGGAGAAAUGCGGAGCUCAGGAAACUGCUUGUUGCCACCGCGAAUCACUCCAUAUUGGUGGUCGAGGACAUCGAUUGCACCAUUGAGUUGCAAGAUAGGAAGUCCGAAACCCGAGCCGCGCGCAUGAAUAUGAUGUCCACCGAUUAUCCACGAGAAGAUGUACAAUUUUAUUUUAUUUUUUUCUUUUUGGCUUUCAUUUUUGGUACAAGGUUUACUUCGGUUUGUUGCAUGCUAUGCUUAUGAUUUGUUCUUAAUAUUUAUCUUGUUUGUCACUUCGAUAUUAAUUUUUGUAUCAUGGAACAGUUGACGUUGUCUGGAUUCCUCAACUUCAUCGAUGGGCUUUGGUCGAGCUGUGGCGAUGAGCAGAUCAUAAUCUUCACUACCAACCACAAGGAGAAACUGGACUCAGCCCUAUUGCGCCCAGGGCGCAUGGACGUGCACGUUCACACGUCCUAUUGCACCCCCUGUGGAUUCAGGCUUCUUGCUUCUAAUUAUCUCGGGAUUGAUCACCACGAGCUCUUCGAUCAAAUCAAGAGUUCGAUCACCGGGAUUGAUCACCACGAGCUCUUCGAUCAAAUCGAGAGUUCGAUCACGGCAGCGAGAGUCACUCCAGCCGAAGUAGCAGAGUAGUUGAUGAAGAGUGAUGAACCAGAGCUCGCUCUCAAGGACUUGGUUUCCUUCCUCGCUGAUCACAAGAGGAAAGAAACUGAAGAAGUCAUAAAGGAGAAAGUUUGCCAGUGCCAAUUGGUUGAAGAAAAUGGAGGAACUGAAGAGGAAAGCGAUAAGUGCAAAAUAAUUGAAGAAUAACCAAUAAAUUUCGACUAUGUUGGUAUGUUUUGAUCGAUUUUAAUUUAGAUCAUCAUAAAGAAAGUGAUCAUUGAAUAUAAAGUAAUUGUAUGAAGUCACUGCAUGGUCAUUCAAAUUAUUAAUUAUGUGAGUCAAAUGGUAAAAUUAGAUGGUCAAUGGUUUAGACGAACUCGAUUUACAUGGCUUGUCAACCAUGCGAUCUUUUCAUGAUCGAAUAUUCAAAUCAUGCUAAUAUUAUAAUUUGCUUUAUAUAGUUAUAUCACGUCAAGGACACAUAAUGUGGCAUACUAGUUUUCUCAUGGUUUGGACCUUCCACGGAAUCUCGAAUAUGCUUGGGUUGGCUGAAAGCAUUAUUUGUCUGAGCUUGGAUUCUAAUUCAAUUGGACUCAACCUAAUUCUCGAUGGGUUCCUAGUCAUCCGUUGCAAGAGUCAUCUCAUGGGUACAUGCUUCUUUUCCUAGGAACAUGACAAGUUUCGCAAAAGCAGAACGAGCUAGGAAAGGUUCCCUACUAGCAUCGGUCGUAUUCGCAUCGUGCAGUGGGAUUUAAGGAGAGAGCUUUAAGUAGAUCAUCCUAAAACGGAGCUAACUUACUUCGAGAUGCGACCAUUGAAUAAGAUAAAUGCACGGGAUCGGUCGAUCUGAUUUGAAUAUUUGCCGCCACUCCGCAAAAGGAAAAGGCCAAGACCGGCGCCCCGUCGGGGCAAGAACGAAAGCCUACCAAGGCUUGGACUAGGAACACUCCAGGCCUCUGAACCAGCUCAGUCAACAAGGAAUCCAUGCAUUUGUAGAGAGUUCAUUGUUGAUCUCCCAUUCACAUCCCAAAAAAUUCUACAAUAACGGGUCGAUCUCCAAUUCUCUUAUUCAUCGCCACUUUCAUCUCCUGAUUUCCUCCGGUCAUAUACCGUCUAUCCCCCAUAGAUUGAACUGAAAAGAGCGGCGACCCCUGCUCCAAACGACUCCAACAUCGCGGUGGCCAAGGCUGUGCUGUCUGCCGCGGCCUCCGUGAUGGUGGUGCAGUCGGUGGUUCGACCUUCGUCUCUCCCGAGUUCCAGGGCUCCUCUUCUCCAAGAUCCAUGGCUUCUUGUCUCUCUUCUGCAUCGAAAUGACCAUGGUCAUCGAACAGUACGAUGGGUACAGACAAAACGACCUCUUCGGGACGGUCCAGAUUCUCCUGGCCCCCAGGCAAUCCCUUUUGAUGCAGCGCGUGCGACUGACCAAGUCCCCGAAGGAGAACCACUUCACUUUGGCUAUGGACCGUAAUCAAAUGCUGGUGGAUACGUUUCACGGGGUCAAACUCAAGUGGGUUUUCGUGUCGAGACAGGUCGACUUGGGCUACCAAGUCCAUCAAGGCUCCACGGUUCAGCACGAAGUUUAGUACUUCGAGCCUAGUUUUCACAAGAAACAGAGGGAGAUCGUGGUCAAAUCCUAUGUGCCUUUGCUCAUCGACAAGGCCAAGUCCAUAAAGCAGGGGAAGAAGACGCUGAAGCUAUGCACUCCGGGCUCCAACGGCAAUUAUCUUUAACUAUAUUCAAUUCUACUAUUAGAAUUUAGGAGUGAAAAGCUGUGAUGCUAAAUUCACAAAAACUUCGUUCAAUCGGACUAAGUCGGAAGUAUCAUAUAAAGUCCAGCCAAAAAUAAGUACUUGCUACAUAAAAGUUAAUCAGUAAAAUCCUAAAGAACAUUAAGAUCAAAAUUCACUCGAACCAGCUUGCACCUUCUUCUCUAUGAUUAUGCGCUCAAUUUCUUCAGCAGGAGACUGAAUUUUGUGUCUCCAUCACAAUUUGUUUCCUCUACAGGCCCUUUCCCAGGCACGUGGUCCCCGGUGAACCUUGACCACCCGGCGACAUUCCAAACACUGGCCAUGGACCUAGAGCUCAAGAAGAAGAUCAUCGGCGAUCUCGACAGGUUUGUAAGGAGGAAGGAGUACUACAGGAGAGUUGGCAAGGCGUGGAAAAGAGGGUACUUAUUUUAUGGACCCCCUGGAAUGGGGAAACCGAGCCUGGCGCCGCAAUGGCUAAUUACUUGAACUUCGACAUAUACGGCCUAGAACUGAGAGGGCUCCAUAGCAAUGCGGAGCUUAGGAGGCUACUCGUUGCCACCAUGAAUCAGUCCAUAUUGGUGGUUGAGGACAUCGAUUGCACCAUUCAAUUGCGAGAUAGGAAGUUGGAAACAUGAGCCGCCAGCAAGAAUCCGACAUCGACAGGUUAUCAGCGAAAAGAUCGAGUACUACUUUUUCUUUUUGCUUUCUUUUUGAGUAAAAGGUCUAGUUCAUUUGUUGCAUACUAUGAAUAUGAUAUGUCCUCAACAUUUAACUCAUGUUUGUCACUACAUUAAUUUUUUUCUCAUGGAACAGGUGACAUCAUCUAGAUUCCUCAACUUCAUCGAUGGGCUUUAGUCGAGUUGUGGCGAUGAGUGGAUCAUAGUUUUCAUGACGAGCCAUAUUGAGAAAUUAGACCCAGCCCCGUUGCGCCCAGGGUGCAUGGAUUUGCAUGUUCCCAUGUACUAUUGCACUGCUUGUGGGUUUAGGAUUUUUGCUUCUAAUUAUUUUGAGAUUGAUCACCACGAGCUCUUUGGCCAGAUCAAGAGUGCAAUCACAAUGGCUAGAGUCACUCCAGCCGAAGUAAUAGAGCAGUUGAUGAAGAGCGACUUGGGAACAUGGUAUACUUCCUUGCUAAUCACAAGAGGAAAGAAAAUGAAGAGGUCAAUGAGGAGAAAGUUUUUCGGUCCCAAUUGGUUGAAGAGAGUGGAGGGGUGAAGAAGAAAGUGGUGAGUGCGAACUAAUUAAAGAAUAAACUUUAAACACCGACUAUGUCGGUACAUUCCAUCGAUUUUAACUUAGAGUAUUAUAAAAAUCUCGAUUAUUAUGGAUUUAAUCACAAAAGUGACGGAUGGAAAGCUACUAUAUCCUUAUCCAAAUUAUUAAUAAUUUGAGUCAAAUGAUAAAAUCACGUGAUCAAAUAGAUUAAAUGAACUCGAUUUAUAUGAUCGAUGAGCUAUGUGAUAUAUUUAAAUUAUUGAUAUUCAAGUCAUGCCGACCGUAAAAUUUGCUUCUUGUAGUUACCGCGGCAAGGACACAUAGUUAGACAUUAAUGACAGUCUCAUCUUUUGGGCCUUCCAUGAAAUAUUGAAUUUGCUUGGGUCGGCUGAAAACAUUCAUUACCUAUCCGAUUUUUAGACCAACCAUUGGGGUCAAGGUCAUCUCAGUCUUUUUUUUUUCUUCCCUAUGGGCAAGAUAGAAAAUUUAUUUUUUCUCCUUUUCUGUUAAUAUUAAAGAAGGUUUGGAUUAUUGGAGCAUUCGACUAAUUGUUGUUUGAUAUGAUAAUCAUCCAUGCAGGGGAUUAGCAAAAACAGACGAGGGACAAAAGGUAUAGUGCAGGGCAAGUUAAGGAGAGAGAUGGGAAAAAUAUACCGAAAGUUUUAAAACUUAUUACGAAAGUAUAAUUGAAUCUUGAAACUUUUAAAAAAUGUAAUUAAAUCAUAAAAUUUGUAGAAUUAGUGCGAUUGAAUCAUUCCACUACGGAAAAUGCUGACUUCCCUCUUACAUGGUGAUAACAUAGUUAAAAUGACGUUAUUUUGAUUCAGAUUUGAUUUAAAUACAAAUUAUAUUUAAAUUAAAUUAAAAAUUAAGAAAAUUUUGAAAAAUAAGAGAAGAAAGGGCGGGUGAUUGUUUGCAACCCUUGGGGCUGGUGCCCUUGCCGACCGUUCCCCAUCCUGGUGAUUUAGGGUGGCAGCGACGAAAAGGGUUGCAAACCCCUCUUCCUCCGUUGUUUUUUCCCCAAAGUUUUCUUAUUUUUAAUAUAAUUAAAAUAAAAUUAAUAUUAAAAAAUGAAUUUGGACUAAUAUGACAGUUGUUUUAGUCAUGAUGGUACCACGUAGGAAAAAGAAAAUAACAAAAAAAAAACCACGCCAUCGUUUUCAUUGCUCAAGUUAAACAUAAUUAAUAUAAUAACUUGAUUGUAUUAAUUUGAUAAAUUUUAUGACUUAAUAACACUUUUUAAAAGUUUUAAAAUUUAAUUACAUUUUUUGAUAAGUUUUAAGAUUUUUAUUGUACCUACUGAUAAAUCAUUCUAAAUAUAACUGGUUUAUUAAACAUGUGAUCUUAAAAUAGUCCACGCGAUCAAUAAACGAGUUUAUGCUAUCUAAUCAAACUAAAUCGAAGGGGAACGAACGUGGUUUUGCCUUACCUCGAGACGCAAUCAUUGAAUCAGAUAAUUGGUUGGGAUUUGGUCGAUCUGAUCGGUAACGGCAAAAGCAAAGGGUACGAAGACCUGGACUAAGAACAGUGCACGAAUCAGCUCGGUCGAGAAGGUAACAGAAAAAGCAUUGGGGUGGUUUUGUCCCUUCGUGCUUUCCAGCUGGUACUUCCGGUGGGAUGUCGCCAGCUCUCCCUUUUAAAUCCAGGACCGACUCUGGUUGACGGUAACAUAAUCAUCUCCGAUUCUCCAAUUCUCACAUCCCAUCUUAAUACCAAACAGAGUAAACUGAAAACAAUGGCGACCACCCCAGCUCCGAACGAGUUCAGGAACCCCAUUGCGGUGGCCAAGGCAGUGCUGUCUGCUGCGACCUCCGUGACGGCCACCGUGAUGGUGGUGCGGUCGGUGGUUCGACCCUUCAUCCCCCGCGAAUUCCAGGACUUCCUCUUUGACUUCCUCUUUUCCAGGAUCCGCGGCUUCUCGUCUCGCUUCUGCAACGAGAUGACCAUGGUCAUCGAACGGCACGAUGGGUACGCCCAAAACGAGCUCUAUGGGGGCGGCCCGGGUUUUCCUGGCCGCCAAGCAAUCCGGUUCCGUACGGCGCGUGCGAGUGACCAAGUCCACGAAGGAGACCCACUCCACUGCGGCUAUUAUUGACCAGAAUCAAAUGCUCGUGGACACGUUUCAGGGGGUCAAAUUGAAGUGGGUUUUGGUGUCAAGACAAGUCGGCUCGGUUGGCAACCGAGUUCAUCAAGGCCCAAACUCAACGGUUCAACACGGAGAUCAGUACUUUGAGCUCACUUUUGACAAGAAACAUAUGGAGAUCGUGGACAAAUCCUAUCUGCCUUUCGUCAUGAACCAGGCCAAGUCCAUAAAGCAGGAGAAGAAGACGUUGAAACUUUACACUGCAAGCUCUAACGGUAAUUUUUUGUAGAACAUUUUGUUGGAAUCAUCGGUUAUCUUUAAAUAUGUUCAAUUCUACCAUUAGAAGUGGAAAGGGAGUGAUAUUAAGGUUCCCUAACUUCCACGAAAAUGUUUUCGUGAUUUCCGACUCUCGGUGAAAAAUAAACUUUUAAGGAGAACGUUUUUUGCUAUUGUAAAAAAAAUAAUUCAAAAGUGGGUAAAAAGUUUUCUACUUUCCUGUAACUUUUUUCACCGUACUUUCUUUCACCAAACACAUUUUCCUUUUAUUUUUAUGCUUUCUUUUUUUUUUCUUUUAAAAAAUUGAAUCUUUAAUAUUUUUUCAUUUUUUUUCUUCCUCCACAUUAGUCAUUGGCCACAAGCCAGCUUGAGUCUUGUCACAAGCCGUUAAGGCCAGUGAUGCCUUGAGCCCUUGAGCCCGACUUGCCUCAGGCAAGCUCGAGUGCACUUGGAUCAGCCUAGCUUUGGCUCGCUGACUCGCGUCUUGGUCGACUGUUGGGGAGCCAACCAUUGCUGAGGCACGCACCAGUGGAGGAAGGAAAAGAAAAAUAAAGAAAAAAAAACAAAAAAAUUUGAUUUUAAAAAAUAAAAAAUAAAUAAAAAUUCAAUUUUUAAAAAUAUAUAAAAACGAAAAUUAAUUGUUUUGGUCAAUUAAAAAAUAAAAAUUUAUUUUUUUGGUAAUUUCUCCUAGAAAAUCAAAUCAGAUAUUGAAUGAUGAAAAAUAUUUUUCACUUCAUUUUUAGAUUUCCGUUGAACAUCGGAAUUUUCACCUCAUUUUUAAAUUUCUGUUGAACAUCGGAAAAUAUCGUUAUUUUCUUGUAAAAUGCUUAUUAAAAAAUAUUUUUCGAAAAUGUGAUAUUUUUAAGCGGAGUCUAAAUUCAUAAAAAACUUUUCAGCUCAAUCAGACUAGUUAGAAGUCCAGCCCAAAAUAACUACUUGCUACAGAAAAGUUCAUAAGUAAAAUCCUAAAGUAACAUUAAGGUAAAAUUAACUAGAACAAGUCCUGCACCUUCUUAUAUAUGAUUCUGCCCUCAAUUUCUUCAACAGAAAAUUGAAUUUUGUAUCUCCAUCUUUGUUUCCUCUUUAGGUUCAUUAUCGGGCCCAUGGUCCUCGGUGAACCUCGACCACCCGGCGACGUUCCAGACAUUGGCCAUGGACCCAGAGCUCAAGAAGAAGAUCCUCGACGACCUCGACAGGUUCGUGAGGAGGAAGGAGUACUACAGGAGAGUCGGCAAGGUGUGGAAAAGAGGGUACCUAUUGUACGGACCCCCUGGAACAGGAAAAUCGAGCUUGGUCGCCGCGAUGGCCAAUUACUUGAACUUCGACGUAUACGACCUAGAACUGAGUGGGCUUCGGAGCAAUGCGAACCUCAGGAGAUUGCUCGUCGCCACCACGAAUCAGUCCAUAUUGGUGGUCGAGGACAUCGAUUGCACCAUUCAGUUGCAAGAUAGGAAUCCAGGAACACGAGCCGCCAGCAUGAAUCCGAUGUUGAUGUGUUAUCAACAACAAGAUCAAGUACAAUUUCUUCUUUUUUGCUUUCUUUUUUAAUAUGAGGUCUAGUUCAAUUGCUGCGUACUAUGAAUAUGAUUUGUCCUUGUUUAAUUCAUGUUUGUACCUACAACAAUAUUUUUUUUUUCUUAAUGAAAUAGGUGACGUUGUCUGGAUUUCUCAACUUCACUGAUGGGCUUUGGUCAAGCUGCGGCAAUGAGCGAAUCAUAGUCUUCACGACAAACCAUGUUGAGAAACUAGACCCGGCCAUAUUGCGCCCAGGGUGCAUGGAUUUGCAUAUUCCCAUGUCCUAUUGCACCCCUUGUGGGUUCAGGCUUCUAGCUUAUAAUUAUCUCGGGAUCGAUCAUCAUGAGCUUUUCAACCAAAUUGAGAGCGCGAUCACGAUGGCUAGAGUCACUCCGGCUGAAGUAGCGGAGGAGUUGAUGAAGUGUGAUGAAUCAGAGAUCGUCCUCAGGAACAUGGUUUCCUUCCUCACUAAUCACAAGAGGAAAGAAAAUGAAGAAGUCAUCUAGGAGAACGUUUGUCGCUCUCAAUUGAUCGUAGAAAUUGGAGGGAGUGAAGAAGAAAGCAGCAAGGGCAAGCUAAUUGAAAAAUAAAUAAUACAUGUCGACUGCAAUUGUAUGUUUCCAUAGAUGUUAUUUAGAUUAUUAUAGAGUUCUUUGUAUUAAGCAUGAUGAUGUAUGACAACUAGCCCCGUCAUACUGACGGGUCGGGAUAGGUCAGGUCGGGUAAAAAAUAGUCGGGCCUUAAAAUGCAAAUUUGGCAACCCAUGUUUGACAUGAUUCAAGAUCUACUUUUAGCAAUUUUUUCUUUUAAAAUUUGUGGUCUUUGAAGAAUAGGCGGCUCCAUGGAUUGACUCGUCAAGUUGGUGAGGGAGCCUGGGGUUCGGUUAUAGACAGAAGCGUUAAAGUGGUGGUGAAAAUCCAGUCUGGGCCAUCCAUAAAUUGAUCGGUCUCUAAACUCAUUUUCACUUAUUUGUAGAAUUUUAAAUGACCCGUAUGCAACCUGGCCCAUAGAAAGUAAAUUGAAAAAUGAGUUCACACCCUUAUGUCUUGCUCCAAUGCAACUCGUCUUUAUGGGCAUAUUAAAGUCCCGCACCCGGCAGCUGACCAGAAAGAUUUUCACUAAGUCAUGAAGAAGGAAUUACAUAUCUCAACAGCUGAUGAUCGGCUUAAACUUUUAUCUUUAUCGUGCUCACGACAAGUGUAAGCUAAUCGGAAUAAACCCUUUACAUACUACCUGUGAUUCAACUGGCCGAACUAUUAUACUAGUCACCGUUGGUUGCUGAAGAUUCCUACGCAACUAAUAGGAAAAUCAGAAGGGGAAAUUCACAUGGACAUCUCAUCAAGCAUGUGGGCGACGACAUGCAUAUUUCCAAUGGAGAAGAACCCAUAUACUCAUUCGGCAGAGUCAUUUCGUCGCAAUGAUAGAAGACCAAGCAGCAAAAAUCGACUUUCCGAAUUGAACUAAUUACUCGAGCAACUUUUAGAAGAAAGACAUAAAAGAGCCAUAUGAUUGCUUUACACAAAACGUGAUUUUAAUGUAAAUUAUGGGUUGGAAUAUGAGUAUGACCCAGAUAAAAACAUUGAAAUAAAUAUAGCAAAAUUGGUUUUCGACAAGUCUCUGUCUUUAAACCCUGCCAAAAUAAAAGAAAAAAUAAUGACUAGUGCUAAACACACUCAAGUUAAAUCGUUCAACAUUAAUAAAUUGACUUCCUUUUGAAAGAUGGCCUAAUUAAAUUAACCGAAGACCGUGUAAUUCCAAAUAAAGAUUUAGUAAACACAAAAAUAUUGCAAGUGGCACCAUUUAUGGAGCCAUAACACUGUUAAUUGUGUUGUUUUCAAGAGUUCAAUUUAGUAGGAAAAAGUCAAAUUUGCCGAAUGAUUGGUGACCUUUAAUAAUUUAAUUGAAAAAAUCUGAUGGUCGAUGAAUUAUUCAAUUCUUAAAAAAGGGCAUAUGUCGACAUAAAAAAAAUGAUCACACUUUUGGUUAUUAUUGACAAAUGGCAAACUUGGUUGAUGGAGACACUUUAAUAAAAAAAAAUUAACAAACUUGAAGAAUAGGUAACUUGUGGAGUCAUUGAUCACACACAACAUGAAAGUUAUCGAUUAGAGCUUUCAUCAAGACUUGAGAAAUGGAUUGACAAAGUCAUAAGCAAUGAGCAAUCAACAUAAGAAUAUAACUGUUCGCUGAUUAUAUCUAUUGCCACUAACUUAGGAGUUUUGUUUCUUGCAUAUAAGCGUUGCCUGUAGAUAAGCGUUGCAUAGAGUAACUUCUUUAAUAUAAUUAAAAAGUUUUCUUUAUUUGAAUUUAAAAAGUGUUGUUUUAAACCGUCGAUGAUGAGCUACAAAAAUAUCCACGUUGUACUCUUGUAAGGAAUCCUUAUUAAUCAAUCAACGCAUUUGAGUCCUUUUGUAAAUUUAUUUUAAUCUUAUAUAAUCGGUUGCAAUUGCCUCCAAUUUCCAUACCUCUGGAUCAAAGAUGAGAUUUAUAUCUAACGUAAUCAUUUAGGGGUUGCCUAUGACACGACAGGCUCUUGCAAAAGCAGAGGGAAGGGUCCGUAGCUAAUGCUGCUCGUAUUCACAUCGGUGCAGCUUAAGUCAAGAAGGAAUCGUCAAAUAAAAUAUUUAAGAUGUAUUCAUAAUUUUUCUUGUCAAUAUAAAUUCAACUUUAAAUAAUCUAGCUAGUCGGUAAACAAGUUUAUACUACCUAAUUAAAUUAAAACUGAAAUGGAAUGUGGUGUGAAAUUAUCUUAGGAUCGAUCGCCAUGAGCUCUUCAACUAGAUCGAGAGUUCAAUCAUGGUGGCGAGAGUUACUCUGGCCAAAGUUAUGACAUCCCAGAUUUUCAGUCAUGUUUUCAACUGAAUAAAUCGGGCAUUUCAUUGACGCGCCUAUAGGACUAUUAUCAGAGCUGAUCACUCUUGAGAUAAAUAGAUUAUUUGGAGAAACCAUUAAAGAAUUUUAAUGCAAUAGAUUUGAGAAUUCGAACAGGGAUCGGUUACUUGACCGUGCUUAUCUGCCGAGAUCAUUACGGCAUAGAUAUAAAUCGAUUAGAGAUAAGAGAUAGGUAUGUUCGACUGAGAUAUGUGGCUAAUUGUGAGUGAUACCACUAAAUUGGAAAAUUCUUGUCGACUGGCUCUAGACUGAUUCUUUUGUCGUUUUGGUACCACGUGUCUGUAAUUGAAUCCUCGAGAUUUUCACGAUAACUAAGAGUCACCAUUGAUUCAAGUGGGUUCAUUGUGGCUCAGAAAAAAUCGAUCACGGGUCAUUUGCACUAAAAAUUUCUGAAAACUACUUGGUAGCCUAGGUCACGCUAAAAAAGCGCCAAAUGGAAAUUAACCGCGAAUUCAAGUCCGAUUUCAGAAAUGGAAGAUCCUAUCAUGUUACAAUAAAUUUUAAGAAUGUAAACUCAGCCUCAGAAGAUUUUUUUGACAACCAAGACUUUUUGAGAAAAAGUCGGCAUAUGAUCGUUUUUGUUCAAUUAAGGCUAGAGAUUAUUUUUGGUCACAAAAUUGAGAUACAAUAUAGAUUCUUCGGUUAAGAAAAUUAUCAAUUUGAUAAUUGGGGUACCAAUUGAAUUUGUAAAGGCCAUAUGGGAUUGAAUGGAAGAGGAAAUCAAGACCAAUUGAAGCCAUUUCCUUCAAAAUUCGUAGCUCCCCCAUGCCCUAGCUAAAUUGGACCAUCUCAAGGGUUGUGAGGAGAGUGUGUGUGGUUAAAUGAGAGCCAAGGAAGGGUGGGUGGUGUAGGAUGAAUCUUGGGGGAUAAGUUGUAGAAAAAUUGGCCAUGGUGGCCCCAACCUUAUCCCUUCUCUCUUAUCCUCUCACUCUCUCUCUCCUUGGCCAGCCAAACCCUCACCAUUUCCUCUCCAUUUUCAAAAACCCUUAAGCCAGCAAAAAGACAGCGGAAGGAGCAGCCGCCGAACACCUGGACGCCAUCGCCACCGCACGCCGUCACUGUUUCCAUGAGCCACCGCCCGCGUGAGCCACCGUAUGUGCCCGACCAUCCUUGCCCGCCUCCCUCACGCCUCUCAGCUGCUGUUUUGGAUCUGUUGCAGCUCACCCGAAGCUGUCCUGGCCCCGUUCGACCUCCGUGAGUCAACAUUUAGGCCCGGUUUGGCCUAUUUCCUCAUUCCCGAUCAAUUCCCGCCUAAACGAAGCUAAUUUUCCCUCAUUUCCAGCCAAGAACAGCAAGAAAAGUUGUGGGUUUCCAGCCGCCUUUGGAGGCUAUUUUGAGGUGUUUUCGGGCCUUGAACCUUAGGCCCGCUUUGGAGAAAAACGUCCCCCAUGACGUUCCCAACGUUUCAAUCCGUGCUAAUUGUUAAACGAGUGAGUUUUGCUCACUAAUCCUUACUUAGUAAGGCUAAUGAUUCUUAGAGGUUGUUUAGAUUUGUCGCGACCAAAUUUUCGGGUUUGAAUCACUUAGGGUUUUGGCUAAUGGAUUGUUAAGCUUAGGCUUAACUCGGGCUCUCCCAAGCCUAUACCAAUUCGCGACUUAGGUUCAAGUUUUUUAACAUACAGAUAGAUUUUAUCUAGGAGUCGCCACUAAUCUAUUUUUGGUGGGUCGAUUAGAAACCCAAAUAAAGUACAGGAGUUUUACUUUACUCUUAUGAACCAGAGACCAAGGGUACGGGGAUUUGAUUACGCUAGAUUUCUCUAACGCCUUUUCGGUACCUUUCUUUUUAUUUUGAAAAAUGUUUGGCAAGCAGUUUGGAUUAAUUUUAAAUUUAUUUCCUUAACAUAUGAGGUGAUCAUGCAGGUGCACAAUCCACCAAUUUAACACCCAAAUAAAUAACAAAUAAAUUGCAAAAAAACUUACCUCCAAGCAACGCAAGCAUCUGCGUUGUUUGAUCAGAAUUCAUAUCAACGGUCCUAGGUAUGAUUUCUCAUUAACAGACAAUUUUCUUUUUUUGUUUUGUUUUCACUUAUUUAAUGAAAAUCAUGCAAUAUGCAAUGCAAUAUAACUAAAUAAUCUAAUUAUCAAGCAAUUUCUAAUUAAAUGGACCUAAUAACAAUCUCUAAAUGACGUGCAUUUCAUGAAUCUAAUCCUAUAUGACAUUUACAUGACAUUUUUCAUUUUUCCUAAAAAAUGCAAUUUAUCCUAAAGAAUGGAACUAAUUUAUUCUAAGACAUUUUUUGUAUUUUUCAUGAAAUUCGGAAUUAGGAAAAAUGUGAAAAUUAUCUAACUAGAUUAAGAUUCUAUUUAAUUUGCAUUAGAAAUUAAGUUAAGCCAAAUCCUAAUUUAAACUAAAAUAUUAUCUUAACCCAAAUAAUCCUAAAAUGCAAUCUAUCUAAUAUCUAAACUUAAAAUGAAACAUGAAAUUUUAUUCUAAUAUGCAAUGACGUGCAAAGAAUGCAUUAAUUCUACAUGACAUAUGCAUGAUCAUUUUUGCUUUUUUGAUCAAAAUUCGAAAUUAAGAUUGGCAAAUAAUUAACAUACAAUUUAAAUCAGUGAAAUGAAAAUCUAACAUCCUAAAUUUAUGUUUUUGGUAUUUUUAUUUAAGAAAUUCGAAAUAAAUAAAUUUCCUAUUCUAGACAUGCAAAAUAACCCUAAAACAAGUAAUAUCCUAAGAUGCAUCUAAUCUAACUCAAAUGUUUUUUUUUUCCUUUUAUGGGAGCAAACAAAUAAAGGACAACACGGCAACAAAUCCAGCAAAUUAUCAUCCAUGUUCAUUUAAUUUUGGAAAUAAAUUGACGAAUCGUAUCUCGCAUAUGAGAUCGGAUUGGCCAAUUUUAGACAAAAUCACGAAUCGUAUCUCGAGCGUAAGAUCGGAUUGGUGAUUUUUCCGUGCGAUUGCGAGUCGUAUUUUGAGCAUGAAAUUGGACCGUCAAUCAUGUGCACAUUGUGAAAUUAGGAAGAUUUCCUAAUUUAGAAGGCUAAUCGAGAUUUCACAUAUCUUAGCAUAUCGGAAAUUUCCAUCAUGGGCAUCAACGAAUAUAUCAAAUAAGGAAAUGGAAUUUUCGAAAAUCAAAAUAGAUAAGAUUUUUACCUAAUUCGAAUAUUGGCUUCCGAAUUCCAAUCCUCAAACGGCUACUCGUGACCCGAUGUGGUGGUUCUUAGCGGGGUUCACGGGAUGGCUACUCGCCAGGGGGCUUUGCGUGCGGCUCCUUGAUGAUUGCUCGAUUCAACGAUAUGCGCGUGAACCUCGAGAAGCAAUCUGCAAAACGAUAACUUUUGUUGUCACAGCAGUAGCAAAGCUUGCCGAGAGAUCUAGAGAACCACAAUGGGGAGAUGCUCCAAAUUUCAAUAAAAUAAGUGUGCGAAAUCGUCCAUCCUUUCAAUGUACACGUCCUCCUUUGCUGAAAGGACGUGUGCCCUUCUCUUGUGUGACCAUGCAUUAACUGGAAUUUUGCCAUGACUCCCUGAACUUGACCCCCGCCGCUUUGUUAAACGAAGGUGGUCUUGAACUCAGCCCAGAAUUUCUUGAAGCGUCGAUGACCGCUGGACUGAAAGAUCGUUGAAAUUGCUACGGCGUCUUGCUUGGAGGCUGCAAAGGUCGUCGAAGGCUGACGUGUCGUUGUAGCAGAGACAAAUAAAACUGCAGAGUUAUUGCUUAAAACUCACCCGGAAACCAAGACUGGAACUCGCGUUGAGGAUCUCCGUGAAGAUGCUAAAGUUGUUGAAGAAUUUGCGAGCGUAAUGUACCCAGUGUGUUUUCGGCUUCUCCCCUAGAAGUUUUCUUCCUGGUUAGUGGGUAGUCAAGAGAAAAUAAAUAAAUAAAAUAAAAACUCAAAUUAGAGGUAUGAAUCUGAAGCAAUUCAUGAGAUCAUGGCGGUGGCUCCUCGUGAUUGAAGGACAGUGGAUCGAACGGUGAUUCUCUGUCAUGGAAGGUCGGGGCUAGUAAACGGUGCAGGGCCUUCUUGGUUCGGAACAGAUCAGCAAGACAGGGAUGGCGUCAAGAAGGCAACGGCUGGACAACAGAUCAACGCGUGGUCUCGCGGCAGUAGCGACGGCGGCGAUCGGGUAAUAGUCAGAACAGCAACUACGAGGGUCAGAGCUUCAGUGACGUCAUCAAUGAAGGGGCUGCGGUGGCAUCGUCGAGCGAUCGAGUAAUAACUCAACAGGAUGGCAGCUCGUUGACAAUGUAUCGGGGACGACGAAAGCACCGCGGCAGAAGCAUCGACAUGGGUCUUGGUCAAGAAUUGGCCAAGAAAACUCACUCCCUCCUCUCUCACGUCUCUCAAUUGUGAAGCCCCACUCACAUUUUACUCUCAAUGGCCGUAUGUGUCAAUGUUUGGCCCCCUUGAAAACCCUACGAGUAUUAAUCUAUUUAUAGGCCACGGAUUAGGGUUUUUUUUUUUUUUCCAAAAUCAUAUCCACAAAAAUUUCUUUUCCAAAUGCAAUAUUUGCCUUUCCAAAUGCAAUAUUUGCUUUUGAAUUGAAAUCUCAUAAAAAUAAAUCCGUAAAAUCUCCCCAAUGAUACGGGCUUGGGCCAAUUUGUUCUCUUCGAGGGCUUAGCCCGACUUAUCAAAUUAAAGUUUCUGAAGCAUUAAUUCAAACCCAUCCGUCACCAGCCCAAAGUAAAUGCAAAUUAAAAAUAAAUGCACCUAAAACUAUAUGCUAUACAAUUAACUAUUUUUUCAGGGAUAAAAUUAACCCCUAAUUUUUUAAUGCAAUAAAUGAUUAAAUGGGUAGCCAAAAUUUAAGUGUCAACAAGAUUUAAUCAAGUGCAAUUAGGUGGAUAGAUUAGAUUAGAGUAAUUAAAUUAGAGACUUAUCAAUGCAUGUUAGGCAAAUGGUUAGCGUAUUUAUCAAGUAGACACAUUAUAUUAUUUAUUGAAAGAGUAUCGGUAAUUUUUUGGGCUUAUCCCUACUUCCAAUUAGGCUAUUUUGAACCUAAAUUGGAUUUAUUGCAAUUAUUUAAUAAUUUUCGUAAUUAUUUAAUUAUUUAAUUAUUUUCCAGAAAUUAGGCUGGGACAGUCGACGACCGGAAUUUUAUGCCGAUUGUUGUGGUGUAGUCUAUUUAUUUAUUUGAGCGUUGAUUUGUGCUGAAUUGAAUUAAUUAUGAUUUUAGGAUUUUAUUCAUAAAUUAAUUAAUUUUGGUAAUUAAUGGAAAAAUUACUGGGUGUCGGUUUACAGCACCAAAAAUAUGUAAUGGGCUGUUGAAACUGGUGGAAUGUUUAAAAAGGUGAAAUUAUGAUAUUUUGGUUAAGCCCGACCGUGUACCAACACACGACUAUUUUUAUUGGGAAUGAUAAAAAGAAGGAAUCAAUUGUAUGAUUAUAUCAACCUACGAGCUCUGAUAUGAUAGCUUAGCAGAGAGCAGUAUACCUUGUCAGUUUAGCAGAGAGCAAUGUCGAUAUACUAUAUCAGCCUACAGGUGAUAUGACAGCUUAAUAGAGAGCAGUAUACUUUAUCAGCUUAGAUUGCGCACGUUGGUAUACUAUAUCAACCUAAGGGCGAUAUGGCAAUUUAGCAGAGAGUAGUAUACCCAAUUAUCUCAAAAGCGAGCUAUACUAUCUAUUUAUCAGUUUGCAGUCCUGAUAUGAACGGACUUAUAGAUAGUAUGAGAUGAACCAACCAAGAAAGAGGUCGAGAUGACAUAUAAUCGAUUAGGUUGAUUGAUCAAUAAUUUGAUAUGAUGUUAUGAAUUGAUUGAGUGAUGUGAUAUAAGGCAUAUGUAAAUAACGUUAAUUUGCAGGAUGGAACUGAGGCCAAGAUAAGUCCUCUGACUCGUGUUGUGCUUAGGCAUCUUCUAAAGUGUAUUGGCAUCCUAAUCGGGUCUUGAGGUAAAACUUGCUGAGACGUAGUUGUUGUGCGGAAGAACACCCUAACUAGAUGAGAAAAGUAAACAAGAAUAAUUAAGAACACGGAGAUUUACGUGGUUCGGCGAAAGAUCCGCCUACGUCCACGGGAGAGAGAGAGAGACGAUUUCUUAUUUGAGCGUAUCACAAGAGUACAAGGUAUAAUGCUGAAAAUAAAUAGAUCUCCCUACUUUCCUAAACCUAGUAGGAAAAGAAUUCCACCAUAAAGAUAUUAACAAAUUUAAAACCCAAAUCUAGGAAAUAUAUUAGGAAACAAAUAGCUUGCAAUCUUCAAGUCUUCCUAGAUUUCCUGAUUGAAUUUUGUGGAAUUCAAGACAAUAUCAGCAAAUCUCCACCUUUGGCUUGAAUAAACCACAAGCUUCCACUUGAAACAAGACAACGAAUAUAUCUCUCCCUCCACCGUACCUUCACAAAGGUAUGCCCGCACCUGGAUCGGUGCGGUCUCCAUCAACUUCAAUGAUGAGUGAGAGAAAUCAAGUCCCUGCAGGACUUGAACUUCUCUAUAAUAACCGUCUUCGUGAGCAUAUCUGCGGGAUUAUCUUUAGUAUGGAUUUUCUUUAAAGCAAUGCUACCAUUCUCCACAAAUUCUCGAAUUUUGUGGUACCGAACUUCGAUGUGUUUCGUUCUAGAAUGGAACACUUGAUUAUUCGUGAGACACAUUGCACUUUGGCUAUCGCAAUAUAAUGUAGUACUUUCUUGCUUUAUACCCAACUCUGUGACCAAACCAGUCAGCCAUAUUCCCUCCUUCGCACCCUCAACUACUGCCAUAUACUCAGCUUUAGUUGUAGACAAUGCUACAACAGGUUGAAGCAUUGCCUUCCAUGAAAUAGCUCCACCACCAAGAGUAAAGACAUAUCCUGUGAUGGACCUUCGCUUGUCCAAACCACCAGCGAAGUCUGAAUCAACAUAACCUGCUAAAUUGAUCGAUCCUCCCUUGGAACUGCAUAUUAAACCCAUUCCAACAGUUCUAACCAAGUAACGAAAGAUCCACUUAACAGCUUCCUAAUGCUCCUUACCCGGAUUGCUCAUGUAUCGGCUGACGAGACUCACCGCAUGAGCCAAAUCCGGUCUGCUACAAACCAUAGCAUACAUGAUGCUCCCUACUGCGAUGGCAUAGGGUACUCGAGACAUCUUUACAACUUCCUCAUGUGAAACAGGGCAUUGUUUCUCAGAUAAUUUGAAGUGAUUUGCUAAGGGUGUACUAACCGGUUUAGCUUUACCCAUGUUGAACCGCUCCAAGACCUUCUCAACAUACUUUUUUUGAUUUACCCAAAACUUACUUGCAUGUCUAUCUCAAAAGAUUUCCAUGCCAAGGAUCCUCUUUGCAGCACCAAGAUCCUUCAUAUCAAACUCACUACUUAACCGAGACUUUAGGGAAAUAAUGUCUCUCAUUUUUCUUGUAGCAAUCAACAUGUCAUCAACAUAGAGCAUCAACAGAAUAAGCGACUUAUCAUCCAAAACUUUGUAGUCAAUACAAGAAUCAUGCACACUCCUCAUGUAGCCAAUACGAAGCAUAAAAGAAUCAAACCUUUUAUUCCAUUGCCUCGGAGAUUGCUUCAAACCAUAAAGUGAUCUCUUGAGCAAAUAAACAUGAUCCUCUUUUCCUUCCACCUUGAAGCCUUCGGGCUGCUCCAUAUAGAUUUUCUCCUCCAAGUCACCAUGAAGGAAUGCUGUCUUCACAUCUAACUGCUCAAGCUCCAAGUCAUACAUGGCUACCAUAGCUAGUAAAACACAAAUUGAUGUGUAUUUUAAAAAAUGGGAAAAUAUCUCGUCGUAAUCAAUCCCCUCCUUCUGUGCAUAACCCUUAGCAACAAGUCGGACCUUGUAUCUCUCUUGCUCUUUCUCCGUUGCUGCUUCCUUUCUUCAAAGAACUCAUUUGCAACCAAUGACAUUCCGAUCAUUGGGCUUCUUUACAAGUUCCCAUGUCUCUUUCUUUUGUAACGAUUCCAUCUCCUCCAUCAUUGCGGUCAUCCACUUUUCUUUGUGAUCACUUUUCAAAGCUUCAUGGUAGAAGCCUGGAUCGCCAGAGCCUACGGUAAGAGCAUAAGCAACCAUAUCCUCAAAAUCAUACCUCUCCGGUGCUUUGGGAGUGCGCCUUCCUCGACCCGUUGCAAUGGUACGAGGAACUUCUAUCGUUUCUUUGACUUCUAGAGCUUCAUCGGAUGACUCGCCAUUCUCUGCAGAUUCUUUGGUUUCAAGCUCCACCUUAACGAUAGAUUUAUCACUCCUCUUCAGCAGCUGCGUGUGGCACGAAGCUUGACUUCAACAUUGCAGAUUCAUCGAAUAUAACAUCCUUGCUCGUCAGAACUUUCUUCUAACUUGGAUCCCAUAAUUUGUAGCCUUUCACUCCUUUCUCGUAACCGAGAAAUAUGCAUUGUUUUGAUUUUGGAUCCAAUUUCGAGCGCUUCGAGCUCUGCACAUGUACAAAAGCAGGACAACCGAAUAUUCUUAAAUUAGAAUAAUCGACAAUUUUACUAGUCCAUACCUCUUUAGGAAUUUUGCAUUUAAUUGCAGUUGAUGGAGACUGAUUCACAAGAUAACAUGCCAUGUAGAUAGCUUAUGCCCAAAACUCCUUGCUCAGUCCUGCAUGUAGCCUCAUGCUUCGAGCUCUCUCUAAUAAGGUCCGGUUCAUCCUUUCCGCUACGCCAUUCUGUUGGGGCGUAUCUGGAACUGUGAAGUGACGUUUAAUCCCUUCAUUCUUGCAAAGCUCCAUGAAUGGUGUCAAUUUGUACUCUCCUCCAUUGUCUGAUCUCAAGCACUUAACCUUCUUCCCCAUUGAAGUCUCAACUUCAGCUUUCCAUUCUUUGAACUUUUCAAAGACUUCACUUUUGUGUCGCAUGAAGUAGACCCAAACUUUGUGAGAGAAAUCAUCAAUGAAUGUCACGAAAUAUUCCUUCCCUCCUUUUGACUUUACCGGUGAAGCACCCCAUACAUCCGUGUGUACAUACUCGAGCAUGCCCUUGCUUGUAUGAGUUGCAGCAUUGAACCGUACUCUGCAUUGUUUUCCAAACACACAAAAUUUGCAGAAAUCUAAUUUGCAUGUUUUUAUACCUUUGAGUGCAUUCCUCUUGUGAAGCUCCAUCAAUCCUCUUUCUCCCAUAUGCCCGAGAUGCAUAUGCCAUAGAUAGGUGUUAUCUAUCUCCAUGCUAGCAUCCGUGGACAUAGAUGCUCCACCUUGCACUGUGGUUCCUAUAAGUUGAUAUAGGUUCCCAUGCCUCUGUCCCUUAAGAACAACUAGAACUCCCUUAAUCACCUUCAAGACUCCACCUUGAGCCGUGUACUUGCAUCCAUUGGAUUCAAGUGCUCCCAAUGAGAUCAAAUUCUUCCUUAGACCCAGAACAUGACGUACAUCUGCCAAGGUUCUAAUCAUGCCAUCAAACAUCUUGAUUUUCACGGUUCCAACACCCACAGUCUUGCACGAAGUAUCAUUACCCAUGAGAACUAAACCACCAUCAUAUACCUUGUACUCAUCGAAGGCUUCUCGAUGAGGACACAUGUGAAAAGUGCAUCCAGAGUCCAUGAUCCACGAAUCUUCAAAGGUGUCCUUCCCCGACGAUAUGGACAAGACGUCCCCAUCAUUGGUCUCAAUGAUGUCGGCUAUACUUGCCUCAUCCGAGCUCUUCUUCUUUUUCUCGUUCUUAUUUGGACAGAAUCUCUUGGUAUGCCCUUCCUGAUUACACCCAUAGCAUCUUCCUUUGAACCUUCCCUUGGAUUUUGAUCAACCCCUACCGCUCGAUCCUCGAUCCGUUGAUCUUCCUCUUCCUUGAUUGUUUUUCUCCUUUGCAAAGAGUCCAUCUCCCGAAGAUUUUGAACUUCUUGCCCUUUUUCGAGUGUCGUUUGAAAUUAGGGCAGCAGUCACCUCUCCGAUCUCCAGGGUUUCCUUGCCAUAAAGGAGCGUAGUCACCAAGUGGUCAAACGAAUCCAACAACGAUGCCAGUAGUAGAAGCGCUAUGUCUUCAUCCUCAAAAUUUACCUCCAAGCUUGUAAGUUCACUAAUCAUCUUAUUGAACACGUUAAGGUGUUCCAACAGAUCUCCUCCUUCACUCAUCUGAAGUGAAUACAAUCUCUUCUUCAAGAACAACUUGUUCGUAAGAGAUUUUGUCAUAUAAAUGUUUUCGAGUUUGAGCCAUACCUCCGGAGCAGAUUCGAUUUCCACUACAUAUUGAAGGGCCUCAUCCGAUAGGUUCAAUCGGAUUGCGCUACACACCCUCUCCUCCAUGUCAGCCUAAUCAUCAUCAGCGAUGGUGUUCGGCUUGUUUGAUCUUCCUAGAAGAACCUUUGAUAAACCUUGUUGAAUCAACAGAUCCUUCAUCCUUCUCCGGCAUAGUGUAAAACUAUUCUUCCCAGUGAAUCGUUCAAAUAUCAAAUCGAAUGGUUGAACCUUUUCCAGCCAUCUAGUUAGAAGUCGCAAUACAAGAACAAAGAACUUGGAUUGCUCUGAUACCAAUUGUUGUGCAGAAGAACACCCUAACUAGAAGAAAAGUAAACAAGAAUAAUUAAGAACACGGAGAUUUACGUGGUUCGGCGAAAGAUCCGCCUACAUCCACGGGAGAGAGAGAGACGAUUUCUUAUUUGAGCGUAUCACAAGAGUACAAGGUAUAAUGCUGAAAAUAAAUAUAUCUCCCCACUUUCCUAAACCUAGUAGGAAAGGAAUUCUACCAUAAAGAUAUUAUCAAAUUUAAAACCCAAAUCUAGGAAAUAUAUUAGGAAACAAAUAGCUUGCAAUCUUCAAGUCUUCCUAGAUUUCCUGAUUGAAUUUUGUGGAAUUCAAGACAAUAUUAGUAGUAGUCUCAUCCUAGUUGUGGGACAACAUUUAAGGUCCUUAGAUGCAACAGACCUGGAUUUUGAAGAUCUCGAAACUCUGGUGUAGUCUGCUGAAGGCUCCAGUUAGAGUGUGGAGGAUAAUGAAGAGGAGGACGAGUACCCGUAGUUUGUGAAACCCCCACCCCUGCUUGUAGACCUUGAUUCUAAACUUGUUUAAGUUGAAUCCGGCGUAGUAGUACGCCAUAUAUACAUGUGCACUGGUUUGCAAUGUAUACAAGUGUGGUUGUUUUUGAAAGUUCGGAAUUUAGUCAUACUUUCUUAUCCCAUUGUUUUAUUGUCUGGGGAUCAUUUAUAUGUUUCCGCAUGCUUAUUAAAAAGAAAGGGUCGGCGAUGUGUCCUAGGAUGUCGCUAUUAAUCGACCAAGAUGAGGGAUGGGUGCAUGCCCAAGGAUCGGGGAGUGACAAAAGUAGUGGAGCAGUUGAGGUCACUCUCCGGGACAUGGUUUCCUUCCUUGUUAAUCACAAGAGGAAAGAAAAUGAAGAAGUCAUAAAGGAGAAAGUUUGCCGGUGCCAUUUGGUUGAAGAAAAUGGAGGGACUGAAGAGGAAAGCAGAAAGUGCGAAAUAAUUGAAGAAUAACCCAUAAAUAUCAACUGUGAUGGUAUUUUCCAAUUGAUUUUAAUUUAGAUUAUCAUAAAGAUAGUGAUUAUUGAGGAUGAAGUGAUUGUAUGAAGUUACUGCAUGAUCAUCCAAAUCAUUAACUAUGUGGGUCAAAUGGUAAAAUCAAAUGAUCAACGGUCUAGAUGAACUUGAUUUACAUGGGCUAUCGACCAUGCCACUUUUUCUCGUGAUCAAUAUUCAUACCAUGCCCGGCAACAUAAUUUGCUUUAUGUAGUUAUAUCACGUCAAGGACACAUAAUCUGACACUAAUGUUUUCUCAUGGUUUGCACCUUCCACAGAGUCUCGUGUUUGCUUGGGUUGGCUGAAAACAAUAUUUGUCCGGGCUUGGAUUCUUAAAGUCCUCCUCCAUUGCACCCACGCAAACCGAUUAAUCACUAUAGUCGCAUGGGUUCGUGCUCCUAGGAUGGCCAAAAGAAAAUGCGCACUUACGGCGAUUCGAAUCAUAUUGAUCAACGGUAAAGGAGAAAUGAGGUUGAUGUUCGUUUUCCUAGGAGCUCGGCAAGCUCUGCAAAAGCAAAACAAGCUUAGAAAAGGUUCCCAGUAGCAGACGGUCGCAUCUGCAUCGUGCGGCGGGAAUCAAGGAGAGAGUGUACGCAUUCUGAAAUGGGACUAAUUUACACCGAGAUGCGAUCGUCGAGUAAAACGAUUGCGGGGGUUGGUCGAACUGAUUUUUAAUAUUUGCCACUGCCCUCAAAAGAAAAGGGGAAAGGACGGGGCGUCGUCGGGGCAAGAAGCAAAAGUCUACAAAGACUUGGACUAGGAACAGUCCAGGAACCAGCUCAAAUACCACCUGUCCCCCAUAGAUUGACCUGAAGAGAAUGGAGACCCCAACUCAGAACGACUUCAAGAACACCGUCGCGGUGGCGAAGGCUGUGCUGUCUGCCACAGCCUCCAUGACGGCCACCGUGAUGGCGGUGCAGUCGGUGGUUCGAUCGCUUGUGCCUACGAAUUCCAAGAUUUUCUCUUCUCCGAGAUCCGCAGCUUCCUGUCUCACUUCUCCAACAAAAUGACCAUGGUCGUCGAAGACUACGACGGUUACACUCAAAAUGAGCUCUUUCAGGCGGCUCGAGUCUUCUUGGCUAGCAAACAAUCCUUGUUGGUGCGGCGAGUCAGAGUGACCAAGCCCAUGAAGGAGAACCAACUCACCCUUGCUAUGGACUGGAAUCAAGUGCUGGUAGAUGUUAAGAAUAGCAAGAACAAAAGCUCUACUGAUGCUAUUACUGAUAUCAGUAAGAACAGGGGCAGUAAGAACAGGGGGAGUAAUAUAUACAAGAGCAACGAAGAGAAAACAUAUGAAGAAGAGGAAAUAGAGAAUAUAAAUGCCGCUGAGAAGAAUGAGAAGAAAACUUGUUUCGAACACUCUGUAUAAUGCUGCAAGUCUUGGCAAGUCUCGUCAGUUAGUUUGGUGUACUUUAGUUUUGGAAGUUAGUUAGUUUUUUGCUUUUGUUAGUUAGUUAUCCUUUCUUCAACUGUUCAAUACCUGUAAAUCAGUUUCCAGAGAUAGCCAUUGUAUAUAAAAGGCUAACUCUCGUGAUUGAAAGAGAUACAAGAAAAUAAUAGAAAGAAGUUUUCCAUCUCAAUAUCUCUCUACUGUUCCUUCAUCCCAAGAUUUCCUAUUUCUUCUGUGCGCAUAAACUUCUUCAUGGUAUCAGAGCUGCUACAUCCUAAAGAAAUCAUCUUGAUGCUGCACAAAAUAGUUAAAUCUACAUUAGAUCGAAGUUAGAUUUGAAGCUUCAUUGAUCUCUGAAGAUAUCUGUAUCUUCCAACAAGAUCUGUGAGUUGGUACUUUUCAUCCACAUCUAAAUCUUCAUCAGCAAUAUACUUGUUGCAGCGUAUUGCAAACCAGUAGAAUUUGUGUCUGCAACUAGACUUGAUCAAAGAUCGGGAAGAAUAGAAUGGCAGCAAGAAGUUUGAGAUAUCCAUUUCCUAUUCAUGUUAAUAUCUCGAAUUUUGUUACCAUCAAAUUAGCUGAGGAUAAUUUCCUUCUGUGGCAAGCUCAAUUCUAUAAAUUCUUAAGGAGCCAAGAUUUGUUUGGUUUUGUGAAUGGGGAAAUUUCACCACCUGCAAAGACAUUGCAGGUUGAAGAAGGAGGUCAAACUUCUGAGGUUCCUAAUCCUGAUUAUAAUGACUGGAUAAAAACAGAUCAACUUGUAUCUUCUUGGAUUAGUGGUGCUGUAUCAGAAAAUAUACUCAGCUUGAUAUUGGCUUAAAUACUGCUUACGAAGUUUGGCAAACUCUGCUAAAUCGGUUCACACAAAAGUCAAUAGCUAAGGAGUUCGAGUUAAGAGGAAAACUGCAGGCUUGCCAGAAACGUGAACGGACAUUAUCAGCAUACCUCAAGGAGUACAAGUCAAUAUGUGAUCAAUUGAAUGCCAUAGGAAAACCAGUUGAUGAAAUCACAAAACUAUUUGGAAUUCUGGAAGGCCUGGGAUUUGAGUAUGAAAGUUUUAAAACUACAAUCUAUUGCUUAAAGCCCCAACCAGAAUAUAAUGAAGUAAUCUCACACUUAGAAAGAUUCAAAGCCAGGUUACAGAAUUAUUCUUUAAAUCAGUUUAGUCCUAACCUAGCUUACUAUGGCCAAAGGAAAACUGAAGCUAUACAUAAAGAAGAGGCUGACAGAGAAUAUAUACAACAGAAUACUAUUCUUAGAGGAUCAAGAACAAAUAAUCGUGGAGGAAGAGAUUAUGGAAGAGGAAGAACAUAUAAUGCCGGAUACAGGAACUUUGGUUAUCCUGGAAGAAACAUGAGUUAUAGAAAUAAUAACUCAAACUAUGAACAAGAAAAUCAGCAGUUCAAACAACUCAAUACCUCCUCUGGCUUGGGUCCUGUUCAAGGAUUUAGACCAUACAAUGUAUUAGCACAAAGGUAUUCUGAUACCAGGUCAUAUUCUGCAUCAAAUUCAACUCUUCACAAAAAGGUGCAGAUGGAGAAAGCAGCAUAACACACUCGACUUGAGUGUCAAAUCUGUAAGAGGCCGGGUCAUGAUGCCUUACAUUGUUGGUAUCGGUUUGAUAACUCCUAUCAAGCUGAGGAGAUACCAACAGCACUAGCAACACUACAUAUUGAGGAGGCAAAUGAUCAAGAAUGGUUUCCAGACAUUGGAGCAACAGCCCAUAUUACCUCUAAUGCUGGUAUACUUCAUAGUCUUUCUAAAAAUAACAAUGCUGAUACAGUCAUGAUAGGCAAUGGUAUGUGUUUACCUAUCAAAUACAUUGGUAAUGCAAUACUUAAUACUACAAUUGAUGCCUUGCCUCUAAAUGAUGUGCUGAUUGUCCCUGAGAUUAAGAAAAAUCUUCUAUCAGUGUCAAAGUUAAUUGAUGACUACCCAUGUUCCUUUAUCUUUAACAAAAUUGGUGUGUAUAUCAAGGACAGCACCACCAACACAACCAUGAGGCUAGGAAGGAAGGUUAGAGGGCUGUACAGAGUAGACUCUCAUGCUACAGAAGUCUACUUCACUCAAAGACAAAGAAUUGUUGCAGAAAGUAUCUGGCAUCAACGAUUGGCUCAUACAAAUUAGAAUAUCUUGAAGCAUUUGAGGAAUUAAAAUCUGAUUCAGUACAACAAAGAACCACAGUCUGUAUGUAGAAGCUGCCAAAUAGCUAAGAGUACUGCUCUACCUUUUCCAUUAUCAAAUUCUACAGCUACAAAACCUCUAGAACAAAUUCACUGUGAUAUUUGGGGACCUUCUCCAGUUAAAUCUUUUCAGAGUUUCAAGUAGUCAUUUUUGUUGACAAUUUCUCUCGGUUCAGUUGGAUAUAUCCAUUAAAGCUGAAGUCAGAUUUCUAUAGUAUUUUUCUCAUGUUUCAAAAGUUAGUAGAAAAUCAGCAUAGCUGUAAAAUCAAGACUUUCCAGUGUGAUGGUGGAGGAGAGUUUAUUAGUCAAAAAUUCAGAACUCACUUACAGAACUGUGGCAUUCAACAGCAUAUCUCCUGUCCAUAUACACCUGAGCAGAAUGGAAUACCUGAAAGGAAACAUCGACAUAUAGUCGAACUUGGUUUGGCUAUGCUAUACCAUGCAAAAAUUCCAUUAAAGUUUUGGGUAGAUGCAUUUGUAACAGCCAACUACAUUGUUAACAUUCUUCCUACUCAAAAAUUACAGAUGCAAUCUCCCUUCAGCAAAUUAUAUCAGCAUAAGCCAAGAUAUGACCAUCUCAGAACCUUUGGCUGUGCUUGCUAUCCCUGUCUUCGACCAUAUGCACAGCACAAGCUUGAUCCACGGUCACUAACCUAUGUCUUUCUAGGAUACAGUGAUCACUAUAAGGGAUAUCGAUGUCUUGUCCCUACUACUAGUCAUGUCUACAUUAGUCGGCAUGUAGUAUUUGAUGAGAAUUUCUUCCAUUUCUCUCAGAAAUUAGCAACCGUUUAUCCUUCCUACACACAUUUGUAUAAGUUGUGGACAGAAGAAGAGCAGUUCCUAGCUUCCUCCACUACAGAUCACAUAAAACAUUCAACUUCUCAGUACACAGGUUAGGAACAAGAAUCCACAGCUAAGCAAACAAAUGGAAUGGUCUUACCUGAAUGCACAGAACAAGCAAUUUCUAUUUCUCCAGCUGAAUUUCCUAUGGAUCAAGUGUCCACCACUACUCAGAAUAGUCCACAACGAGUUGAAAUACCCGUUCCCAUAACUGAGACAACAAAUGGACCAGAUAUGGAACAACACACUUCAAAUAAUCAGACGAAUUCACAAGGUACAUUACCUACACACCCUAUGCAGACUAGGUCUAAGUCUGGCAUUAUCAAGACCAAUCCUCGAUAUACAUGUCUUGCUAUAUAUGAAGUACCUACUGAACCAAAAACAAUCAAAUCAGCCUUAGCACAUAAAGGCUGGUAUAAAGCAAUGACAGAAGAGAUGGAUGCACUUUAUUAGAAUAAAACUUGGGAAUUAAUCCCUCGAAUUGGUCAAAUAAAUGUCAUUGGCUGUAAGUGGGUAUUUAAAACAAAGCUUGCAGCAGAUGGUAGCCUUGAUAGACUUAAGGCUCGACUGGUUGCUAAAGGAUUUCAUCAGGAAGAAGGCAUUGACUUUACAGAAACUUUUAGUCCAGUCAUCAAACAUGCUACAAUUCGUAUAGUUCUAUCUGUAGCCAUGAUGAAACACUAGCCAAUCCAUCAACUAGAUGUCAAAAAUGCAUUCUUACAUGGUACAUUGAAUGAGAUAGUUUACAUGGAGCAGCCUCCUGGUUUUCAAGAUCCCAAGAAACCUCAUCAUGUAUGUCUCCUCAAGAAGUCUCUCUAUGGACUUCGACCAGCUCCUCGAGCCUGGUUUGACAAGUUCAGCAACUUUCUGCUUGAAUAUGGGUUCUUUUGCAGCUCAACUGACCCAUCCUUAUUCAUCUAUCAUACUGAUACAGACACCAUUCUUGUACUACUAUAUGUUGAUGACAUUAUCCUGACUGGAAGCUCCUCUCAGUUACUUUCCAACCUUAUCCAUUCUCUAAGUCUUCAGUUCUAUAUGAAAGACCUUGGCCCACUACAUUACUUUCUUGGCAUUGAAGUUAAAAAAUACUUUUGAUCACCUGUUUCUUUGCCAGACUAAAUAUGCCAGUGAUCUUCUUACUCGAGCUCAUAUGCUUGAGUGCAAACCAAUUACCACCCCUAUAUCACAAAAACCAACUAUUCUAAUAAAUGAUUCUACUCCCCUCUCCAAUCCUAUCGAGUAUCGAAGCUUAGUAGGUGGCCUUCAGUAUCUGACUUUAACAAGACCUGACAUUGCAUAUGCUACAAAUCAGCUGUGUCAGAAAUUACAGAAACUCACUAUUGCAGACUUACAUAAACUCAAGAGAGUUUUGAGAUAUGUCAAAGGCACUAUAAGUCUUGGAGUCUUCAUUCACUCUCGAAGCUCUCUCCACUUGUAUGGGUUCUCAGAUGCAGACUGGGCAGGAUGUGUUGAAACAAGAAGAUCAACAACAGGUUUUUGUACAUACCUUGGCUCCAAUCUCAUAUCUUGGGCAGCAAAGAAUCAAUCCACAGUCAGUCGAUCCUCUACAGAAGCUGAGUAUCGUGCUCUUGCUUCUACAUCUGCUGAACUUACCUGGAUCAGCUUUGUCCUUCGUGACAUAGGAUGCUCAUUGACUCGUCCAACAUAGCUCUUUUGUGACAAUAAAUCAGCCAUUUCUCUUACUAUCAAUCCUGUCUUACAUGCUCGCACCAAACACAUUGAGAUAGACUUUCAUUUUGUUAGGGAAAAAGUCUCCUCAAGGUCACUACAAGUGAAUUAUGUUCCAAGUAACUAUCAACUUGCCGAUAUAUUCACAAAAUCUCUUCCUCGUAUUACACACUAUCAGCUACGAAUCAAAUUAGGAAUUGGUUUCUCACCCAUUCCUAAUUUGAGGGGGAAUGUUAAGAACAGCAAGAACAGAAGCCCUACUGAUGCUAUUACUGAUAUCAGUAAGAACAGGGGCAGUAAGAACAGGGGAAGUAAUAUAUACAAGAGCAACGAAGAGAAAACAUAUGAAGAAGAGGAAGUAGAGAAUAUAAAUGCUGCUGAGAAGAAUGAGAAGAAAACCUGUUUCGAACACUCUGUAUAAUGCUGCAAGUCUUGGCAAGUCUCGGCAGUUAGUUUGGUGUACUUCAGUUUUGGAAGUUAGUUAGUUUUUUGCUUCUGUUAGUUAGUUAUCUUUUCUUCCACUGUUCAAUACCUGUAAAUCAGUUUCCAGAGAUAGCCAUUGUAUAUAAAAGGCUAACUCUCGUGAUUGAAAGAGAUACAAGAAAAUAAUAGAAAGAAGUUUUCCAUCUCAAUAUCUCUCUACUGUUCCUUCAUCCUAAGAUUUCCUAUUUCUUCUGUGCACAUAAACUUCUUCAUUAGAUACGUUUUGCGGGAUCAAACUCAAGUGGGUUCUCAUGUCGAGACAAGUCAACUCAGGCUACCAAGUUCCUGAGGGCCGGAACCCGAUGGCUGAGCACGAAGUUCAGUAUUUCGAGCUCACUUUUCACAAGAGACACAGGGAGAUCGUGGUCGAUUCCUAUUUGCCUUUCAUCAUCGAGGAGGCCAACUCCAUCAAGCAGAAGAAGAAGACGUUGAAGUUAUACUCUUCGAACUCCAAAGGCGGUAAUUUUCGUCCACAAUUAAGUUGGAAUCAACGAGGUUAUCUCUAAAUAUGUUUAAUUUCACAGAAUCAUCUUAGUUCAAUGGGACUCGUCGGAAGUAUCGUAGACAGUUGCAAUCAAAUGGUCAAGUCCAAAUAUAAAUAUUGGCUACAGAAAAGUUCACGUGUAAAAUUUUAAGGGAUAAGUGUUCCAGAAGUCCUACAACUUGUCACGAAAAUGCAUUUCAGUCUUAAAACUUGCAAAAAGUGCAUUUAAGUCCUAAAACUUGUCAAAUUGUUUCAAAUGAGUCCUAAGAUCGACGCCGUUAGUCUUUUCCGUUAAAAAUGCUGACGUGGCAUUUUAAAUAAUUUUUUAUUUUCCAGGUUUAUUUUUUAAUUAAUUUUUAUCCAUUUUUUUUAAAAUUAGAUUUAAAACUAAAAAAUUAAAUUUAUUCUUAUCUUAUUUUCAACAAAAACUAAAAAGAAAAUUUAAUAUUUUAUUUUUAAAUUUUUUAAAAACAAAUUAAAAAAAUAAUAUAACUUUUUAAAUAUGUUUUUUAUAAAUAUUUUAACUAAAAAAAUUAUUUUUAAUUAAAACGUUUUUUAAUAAAUAUUUUAACUUUUUUUAAAUUUUUUGGUGAAAAUAAGAUAAAAUGAAUAAAUUUGAUUUUUUUAGUUUUUAAAUCUAAUUUUUUAAAAAUAAUUAAAAAAUAAUUAAAAAAAUUCACGUGGAAAAUAAAAAAAUUAUUUAAAAUGCCACGUCAGCAUUUUUAACGGAAAAGGCUGACGGCGUUGAUCUUAGGACUCGUUUGAAACAAUUUGACAAGUUUUAGGAUUUAAAUGCACUUUUUGCAAGUUUUAGGACUGAAAUGCAUUUUCGUGACAAGUUAUAGGACUUCUGGAACACUUAUCCCAAAUUUUAAAGAACAUUAGGGUCAAAACUCACUAGAACAGUCUUGCACCUCUUGUAUACUAUCUACUCUGAUUCUGCUCUCUAUUUCUUCUACAGAAGAUUGAAUUUUGUAUCUCCAUCACAAUUUCUUUCCUCUACAGGUUCUCUCUCGGGUAAGUGGUCUCUGGUGAAUCUCAACCACCCGGCGACAUUUGAGACGCUAGCCAUGGACCCAAAGCUCAAGAAGAUGCUCAUCGACGAUCUCGACAGAUUUGUAGGAGGAAGGAGUACUAUAGGUGAUCCAGCAGAAACUUUUGGCACCAAAGUGAGCGUCGUACACAACUUAUGGCAUCAUUAGUGUACUUAUCCCCCUAUAGUACUCCUUCCUCCCCACGGUGGCCAAGCGAUGAUGGCCGAGCAAGCUAGGUCGGCGAUGAUGAACACAAAAAAAAAACCCCUAAUUUCAAUCACAAAUGAGCUAUAUGGCGUAGUUUUUCCAAAGCCAUCCACAUAGGACGGUAACUUAAGUGAUCCGACGGUAACUUUUGGCACCAAAGUGAGCGCCGUACACAACUUAUGGCACCAUUAGUGUACUUAUCCUUACUAUAGAGAGUCGGCAAGGCGUGAAAAAGAGGGUACUUAUUGUAUGGACCUCCCAGCACAAGGAAAUCAAGCCUAGUCGCGGCAAUGGCCAAUUACUUGAAAUUUGACAUAUAUGACCUAGAGCUAAGCGGGCUCUGGAGCAACGCGGAACUCAGGAGGCUGCUUGUCACCACUGCGAAUCGGGCCAUAUUGGUGGUGGAGGACGUCGAUUGCACCAUCACGUUGCAAGAUAGGAGGUCGGAAGCCCAAGCCACAAGCACGAAUACAAUGUCGUCCCCAUAUCGGCAACAAGAUGCGGUACAAUUUUUUUUUUUCUUUUGGCAUUGUUUUUCAGUAUUAGGUUUACUUCUAGUGUUGCCUCCUAUGCAUAUGAUCCAUCCUUGACAUUUAACUUAUAUUUGUCACUAUGAUAUUGAUUUCUUUCUCAUGGAACAGCUGACGUUGUCUAGAUUUCUUAACUUCAUUGACAGGCUUUGGUCUAGCUGUGGCGAUGAACGGAUCAUAGUCUUCAUGACGAAUCAUAGGGAGAGACUAGACCCGGCUCUAUUGCGUCCAGGGCUCAUGGAUGUAGAAGUUCCCAUGCUCUACUGCACUCCGUGCGGUUUCAGGCCUCUCGCUGCUAAUUAUCUUAGGAUCAAUCACCACGAGCUCUUCAACCAUAUUGAGAGUUUGCUCAAGACAGCCAGAGUCACUCCAGCCGAAGUAGCCGAGCAAUUGCUGAAGAGUGACGAACCAGAGGUGGCUCUUAGGGAUAUGGUUACCUUCCUCGUUGAUCACAAGAGGAAAGAAAAUGAUGAAGUCAUCAAGAAGAAAGUUUGUCGGUGCCAAUUGGUCGAAGAAAAUGGAGCGAGUGAAGAGAAAAGCGGAAAGUGCGAACUAAUUGAAGAAUAAAUAAUAAAUAUCGACUGUGUUGGUAUGUUUCCAUCGAAUUUAAUUUGGAGUAUUAUAAAGAUGGUGAUUAUUGAGGUCACAGAAGCAAUUGAUGGAAAGUUAUUGCCCGAUCAUCGAAAUCAUUAAUUAAGUGGGUCGGAUGGUAACAUGGCAUGUAAUCUAAGUGAAUUUAAUCAAGAGUUUAGAUGAACCGUGUGAUAUUUUUUUGGUAAUUGAUAUUCAUAUCAUGCCGGCAUUAUAUUUUGCUUUAUAUAGUUAUAUCACGUCAACGACACAUAAUCAGACAGUAAUGAUUUCUCAUGUUUAGGGCCUCCCAUGAUUUUUUUUUUAGUAUUUGCUUGGGUUUGCCGAAAACGUUAUCCAUCUGGUUUAGUCCAACCAUUUGGUUCAAGGUGUAUAAUGAUCUGAGCACCCUGCUAAUUCUUGAUAGUCUUCCGUUGCACACACAUCAAUUAAUUACUAAAUUCACAUAGGUCCGUGUUUUGAGUAUGUCCUCAAGAAAAUGCGGAAGUAGAGUGGUUUGAAUUCAAUCGAUCAGCGAUAAAAGACAAAUGAGGUCGUCGUUUGCACAAUCCCAUGAGGUUCUCACUUGCGUAAUCAUUUAGGGGUUACCAUUUUUUCCCAGAACACCACAAGCUUGGCAAAAGCGGAAAGACGGCAAAAGGUUCCAACUAUCUCUGGUUUUUCUUGUUCGUAUCGUGCAGCGAGAGUUAAGGGGAGAUUGAUAAAUAAAUCAUUCUAAAUGUAACUGAUCUAUUCAAAUUUUGAUCUUUAACUUGUCCCGCCAAUCAAUAAACAAGCCUAUGCUAUCUAAUUAAACUAAAUUGAAGUGGAAUGUGCCGUGGUUUUGCCUUACAUCGAGAUGCAAAUCAUUGAAUUAGAUGUUGCGUGGGAGAUUGGUCGAUAGGAUUUUAACAUCAAGAUCAAACUUUACGAAGACUUGGACUAAGAACAGUGUAUGAAUUAACUUCGUCCAGAAGGUAACACAAAGGCGUACCAUGCGGCGUUUGUCCCUUUGUGCUUUACAGCCAGACUUCCUCCAUGCGUUUGUCCUUUUGUGCUUUACAGUCAGACUUCCGUGGAGAAUGUCACUAGCUCACCCCUUUAAAUGCAAGACCGACUCAUUGACAAUAACAUAUGCAUCUACAAUUCUCUAAUUCUCUUAUAUAUGGCCACUUGCAACUCACGAUCCCUUCCGAUCAAAUACCAUCUAUACCAAACAAAGUAAACUGAAAAGAAUGGUGACCUAUACCAAACAAAUUAAACUGAAAAGAAUGGUGACCCUGACUCGAAAUGUAUGAAGUUGAAGAGGUUAACAAAGGAGUUAGUGCUAAUUAAACUGUGGGCACGCAUGCGGGUAUGAUGAAGUUUAGUCCACAACCAAUCAUCUCUUUAGGUACACUAAAGAAACCCUACACUUAUUAAUUGGCUCACUUCCUCUUACUUUUCCUAUGUGAGACAAAGGAAAAUGCACUUAGUUUGUUUUACGAACAAACUUCCAACACAAACAACUCCAAGAACCCCGCGUGGCGGCCAAGGCAGUGCUGUCGGCCACAGCCUCCAUGAUGCCUCCAUGAUGGUGGUGUAGUUGCUGGUUUGACGUCAAUGGCAACUAUCUGUGGAGGCAUCUGAGCAUUAAUUUUUGAUGGUUUUAUAUGUAUUGGGCUCAAGGCCCGUCCGCCCAUGCUGGGCCCAAAAGGCCCGCCCCACGGGAAUAGGGCAUGUGGAAGGGGAAGGUAUAAAAGGGAGGAGAGAGAGAGAGAAGACAACGCUUGGCUGAACGUACGUACGUUCUCUCCCUCGCUCUCUCUCCAAAAAGACAAAAAGAACAGUAAGGCAAACGGCACGUUCUUCUUCCCUUCAAGGCGCCAUCGGAUCGAACAAGACCAGAAUUUAUUCUCGAUCUUCAGCAUUGGUGUCUAAUCUGUGGCUAACAAGGUACGCUCGAAUCCGUGGUGUGCUUUACGAUCGGUGAUACGUGUUUUCCCGGGCUUCGUCUUCCGCAUUGAUUUAGGGGUUCGAUUGAGUGUCGAAUCCGGUUUUCGGGGAUCAGUCAUUCCCAACAUUGGUAUCAGAGCCCUAGUUCACGUUUUCCUGACCUGUUUGACGUUUUUUCAUUGAUUUUUCGUAAAAAAUUCUCAGCCGUACGGAUCGGGGCGUGAAAUCCCGACACCCGAGCACUGUACGUCCAUUUUUUUCUGAGUUUCCGUAAGUCGGAAUCAAAUUCUGAAGGAACUGGGUGAAAGGCGACGUCGAGACGAGUCCGGCGACAUGUCGUGCGUCGCCGGACGACGCCGCACGCGCCCACACGCGCGGCCACAAGCCGCUGCGCGUGGGAGCCACGAGCCCGAAGCACUGGCUAUGGCCAGCGCGUUCGCCACACGCGCCGGUGACGAACCGGCACGUGCGCGCCGGCGACCGACGAAACGGCACGCACCGGUCGGCAAACCGACGCGUGCUGACGUCAACCGCUGACGUCAUCGUGACGUCACCCAACGGUCGAUAACCGUCAGGAUGACGUCAUUGAUGACGUCAGCGCCGACGACGGUUGGCCGGCCGGCGACCCGACCCGACGGCGACCGACCUGACCCGAUCAGCCUGGCGCAUGCCGCGCACAUGCGGCUGAUGUUUGCGUGACGUCAGCACGCUCACGCGCGAGGCACGUGUCGGCUGACGUCUGCGUGACGUCAGCUAGUGCACGCGCGCGGCACGUGCGGUCGGUUCGUCCGACCGGCACGGCCGAUUCGACUGGCCCGACCGGUUCCACCGGUCCUCCGACCCGCGCGCCCGUUGACCCGACCCGUUGACCGUUGACUUUGACCGUUGACCCGAAAAAAAAAAAGAAAAGGAAUUUGUUUCUUUUUUCAAUUAUGUCUGUGUGGGUUGUAGGUAAUCCAUUUUUAUUCUGCAUUUGUUGUAUGAAUCAUGGAAAUUUAUGUAUUUUCCAUUUUGUUUAUUAUGGAUUAUAAGUGAUCCAUUUUAGUUCUGCAUUUGUUGCAGGAACUAUGAUGCGUUAUGCACGGAUACCUGCAAUCCCAAGAACGGACGAAGGAAGAGCUAGACUGAAAAGGCUGAUGAAAGAGUUAGCUGAUUAUCGGUGGCUUGAUGGUGAUUUAGUAUCACACAUGGUCAAGGUCAAUCAGAUGAUACAAGAAAUCAUCUGGAAUGGUUAUCUUAUGCCGGACUUUGAGAAGGUGCCGGCUUUGAUGAACACUCUUCCACCUGAAUGGCAAGCAGUGUUAGAUCGGCUAUGGGAGGUCAACGUGGUCCCGGAUUACAGGGGAUUAGUGGAAGCUUUUGUAAGAGAGUACUAUAGGAUUGAAUUGGCCAAAACUUCAACCCUUAGAUUGAGCACCACAUGGCGCAGAGUGAAUUCGCCUUGGUGGCAACAUGAGAGCUCUCCAAAAGUUUUUCCAUGGUUGGCAAAUGUACCUUCAGUUUUCUCAGAUGUUUUGGCUGAUAGAUUAGAAGGGACAUUCCCUAUUUAUUUCUUUGAUUAAUUAUGUAAUGUUUACUACCUGAUUGUUGUUGAUGUAGCAACCGAUAUGUUAGUUGUAUCAUGUGAAAGCAUUGUUAUUUUAUUCGAUGUUAAGAUUUUAUUUGCUUUUUGCUAUUGCUGGUUGCUGUGGGUAAUUAGCUGUGGGUAGUAAUAGAAGUUUUUUGUAACUUCAUAGAAUUUAUUUGCAUAAGACAAUUAUAGUAAUAAUAAUUUUGAGUUAGGAUUUUUGAAGGAUGAUUGGAAACAUAGUGACCUUUUGAUUCUGAAGCCUUACUUGAAAUUAUUCAUUAAUAUGAUGGGUCUAUGCAAAUAGGGAUGCAUAAAUGAUAGGCAUUAAUUAUUCGUGCAUGUAUGUCUGAUGUGUUCAGAACGAUGGUUCAGCAACUAAGAAUGUAAUUGCUGAUAUGAACGGCUACAAUUGUGAAAUAUUGAAUAUGAAGAUUCAAUAUGUGCUGGAAAAGCAAGAAGCACUAGAAGCUCUUGACCAUGUUAUGGAAGAUCUUGAGAAUGCUGUGCACCACCUUGAGCUGGUAGAGGACCGCUUAACGGCAUGUGAGCUGAGAAUAGAUAUUUGCAAUGCUGGUUCUAGCUCAUAAAGGGUUUUGAGCUCUAAGCGCAAGCGUAUUGAUUCGUUCAAUAUGUGGGAAUGCAAAGGAUCAAGUCCUUAUUGCAAGAGAUCAAGAGUUAACCAACACAAGAGAGGAAAACGUCCUCAAGUGAAGAAAAUGUCAAGGGUGAGAUGUUACAACUGUGACAAGAAGGGUCACUAUGCUCGCGACUGUCGUGAGCCAAAGAAGGCAAACACCUCUUGUACAUUUGAGAACUUUACUUUUGUGUCAAGUUCUGCAUUAUUAGCUGAAUCCAAUCAUUUGUGGACUGUAGAUUCAGGAGCAACAGACAAUGUAGCGAAGGAUAAAGGAUCCUUCGUGGAAUUCCGACGAAUACCGACUGGAACUAAGUGGAUCUAUGUGGGAAAUAGCUCCAGAGCUGAAGUUAAAGUGAUUGGCACCUGCCAAUUGAACAUGCGUGGUGGUCGCAACUUGUUCCUACAUGAUGUUCUAAAUGCUCUGGAGAUUCGUCGAAAUUUAAGUGUCUGUUUUGAUGUUGGUUAAGCUUGGUUUUAGUGUGAACUUCCGUAAUAACGGUGUAGAUUUGUAUUUGGAUACAAACUACUAUGGUUGUGGUCACUUUCUGGAUGGUUUUAUUGUACUGAAUGUUGACUGUGGUGAUGUCAAUAUGUUAUUCCCUUGUUUCACGUCUUUUACUUCAUGUGACAAUGAUGUGAAUGUGUGGCCUGCUAGACUUGGUCAUAUUGGCCAACAACAUAUGAAUAGACUAGCCAAAGAGGGCUUGUUGGGCAAUAUUGAAUAAGUCAAUUUGUCCAUAUGUAAGCAUUGCCUAGAAGGGAAAACGACAAGGAAACCAUUUAGAAAAGGUAAAAGAGCUAACGUUCCUCUGCAUUUAAUCCAUUAUGACGUUUGUGGUUCAAUGAAUGUGAGAGAAAGGCAUGGGAUUGUUUACUUCAUCACUUUUAAUAGAUGAUUAUACUCGAUUCGGAUGUGUCUAUUUGAUUUCUCAUGAAUCUGAAGCAUAAGUUGUUUCAGAAGGUUUAUGAACCUAACAAAAAAUCAAUUAGACAAGAAAAUAAAGGUAUUUAGAUCCGAUCGAUGUUGAGAAUAUUUAUCUGAUAAGUUCAGAAAAUUAUGUGAUGAAAAAGGAAUAGAAAGAUAGUUGUCUAUUCCAUAUACUCCUCAACAAAAUGGUGUUGCAGAGAGAAUAAACAGAACCCUACUGGAAUGGUUAGGUCCAAGAUGGCGCAUGCUAACUUACCUAUCACUUUUUGGAGUGAUGCGUUGUUAACUGCUGCCAAUAUACUUAACCGGAUGCCUUCCAAAUCAAUUAUUUCCACUUUAUAUGAGUUAUGGACAGUUAGAAAACCGGACUUAAGUUUACUUAAGCCAUGGGGUUAUGCUACCUAUACUCAUAUGUCCUCUCACAAGUUUGGGAAAUUGAGUCAUAGAUAAAAGUAGAGUAUUUUAAUGAGAUACUCCGAACACUCGAAAGGGUAUGUGUUCAUAGGUUAGCAAGAAAGUGGGAGAAUAACUGAAUUUGAAUCACGGGAUGUCACAUUCUUAGUGGAUGAAUUUCCUAAGAAGGGCGAAAUAGGGAUAGAUUACUUCCUAUUUGAAACCUUGGAUCAAGAUAAUGAUAUUAAUGGAGUUCGUCCAAGUGGGAGUAAUACGAGAAGUGAUGAAUUGAAUUCAACUCAUUCUCAAUUACAACCACAUGAUGAGAUGACAUCGUCAUUAUCUAAUCCGAGUGGGAGCAUAAUUGGGAAUGAUGUACUAAGUUUACAAUCUCCCAUACGGCGAAAAAGUCGCCAAAGUAUUCCCCGUCGAUGUUUUGACAUUGAAAGGGAAAAUUUUAUGGUUGCUCCACAAGAUGAGGAUGAGCCAAGAAAUAUUAAUGAGGCUCUGAAUUGCCCUAGUAAGGAAAAAUUGAUUUAUGCAAUAAAAGAGGAGAUGGAGUCAAUGAAGUCAAACCAAGUCUGUAAACUGGUUGAUCUUCCAAAAUGACGCAGAGCUAUUGGGAACAGAUGGGUUCUCAAAAUAAAGCGAAAGGCUGAUGGCUCGAUAGAAAGGCAUAAGGCUCGCCUUGUGGCGAAGAGGUAUAAUCAACAGGAAGAAAUUGAUUAUGAAAAUACAUUUUCUUUUGUAGUGAGAUUUACCUUGAUUCGCAUAAUUCUGGCAAUAGUGUUUGGUAUGGAUCUUGAGUUAUGUCAAAUGGAUGUAAAGACUGCUUUCCUCAAUGGAGAAUUAGAGGAAGAAAUACAUAUGGAACAACCUGUUGGUUUCAUAGUGAAAGGCCAAGAAGAAAAAGUAUGUCGACUUUUGAGGUCGAUAUAUGGUCUUAAGCAGUCAUCAAGACAAUGGUAUAUACGUUUUCAUAAUGCCAUAAUGGCAUAUGAUUUUACGAUGAUUGAUGAGGAUCAUUGUGUAUAUAUCAAAAGAUCCAAGGAUCAAUUUGUGAUCAUAUCAUUAUAUGUUGAUGAUAUACUAAUUGCCGGAAACAAUAUGGAGUUUGUUAAUACUGCCAAAAGUUGGUUGUCUUCCAAAUUUUGAAUUGAAUGAUAUGGGAUUGUAAACCCAUAAACACUCCUAUUGCAAAAGGUGAAGGAUUGAGCCAUAGUCUGUGUCCAAGGACUCCACAAGAGAAGGAACAAACGAAAUAUGUUCCUUAUGCUAGUGCUGUUGAGAGCUUGAUGUACGCCAUGAUGUGUACAAGACCUGACAUAUGUUUUGCAGUUGGAAUGGUGAGCAGAUACCAAUCCAAUCCAGGUCAAGCACAUUGGAAAGCCGUUAAGAGUAUACUGAGGUAUCUAAAGGGGACUGCUGAUUAUAUGCUGAGUCAUUGAGGAAAUGAUCUGCGACUCUAAGGCUAUUAUGAUGCUGAUUGGGGAGGAGAUUUAGAUAAAAGGAAAUCUGCCUCUGGAUUUGUUUUCUUACCGAAUAAUGGCACCAUAUGUUGGAGCAGUAAGAAACAAAAGUGUAUAGCCUUGUCCACGAGGGAAACUGAGUUCGUGGCAUUAUCAAUAGCAGUAUAAGAAGAUGUUUGGCUUAAGAGAUUAUUGGAUCAUUUAGGUGUUAUUGGAAGUGCUGCAGAUUUGUUAUUGGUUAACCAUGAUAGUCAAGCAGCAAAAGUGUACACUAAAGAUCCAAAUAUCAUGGCAAGACCAAACAUAUAGAUACCAAGUAUAAUUUUGUCAAAGAUAUGGUUGCACGAAAAGAUGUGAACUUAGAGUACAUACUACACAUAGAAUUGUAGCAGAUCCUAUGACAAAGCCAAUACCUAGAGAUGUGUUUUAUGGCCAUAUGAAAUCUCUAGGAUUGCGUAGAGUCUGAUGUACUGGAUUGUAAUUUCCCUGAAGAGUUCACAUUUGAUGAAUUUGUGUUUUUCAUCAUUAAUGCCUAUGAAUCUUUGUUUGAUCUUUAUGCAUCUUAAUGCUCAGUGCAUUACUUUAAGUUAGGAAGUAUGUCGGACAGAUAUAAGAUUAGCCCACUCACACGGGUAAUCGUCUCUAUUUACUGUGUGAUAAAUAGAGAUGAGACUGUUUUUAAGCUUAUUAUCUAGGUGAUAAUCGAGAGCUCAAGCUUAAAACACGUAUGUCGCCUUAACUAGGUGUUAAGAUGAGGACAUAAUACUUACUAUGUCCGAAAGUAAAAUACCCCACAUGUUUUACUUUAUCUGUCUAAGAUGCCAGAUGUGAGUUCUGAUGAAUUUUGUGAAUGAGUAGAUACGUGAACUCAAGUUAGACAUUGGGUAUGUCUGAACUAUCAUCUGUACGGUAUUGAAAGGUGUAGACAUACGCUCCAUGGGAAAGGAGUUAAUACCGUAAUACGUAUUUCAUACUACGUAUGCAUGAGACGACCAAUAAGAGUGGCAAAAGUUUGAUCUCAACUUUUAUGUCGUGUGAGACUCUUGAGGAAGAGAGUUCCUCAAUUUCUUAGUCCCCUCAUGACUCUUACUUAUUUUCAAGAUUUCUAUUUAGUGUUUGCUAUCUUAGGAUGUUGCCAAUGGUCAUGAGUGAUUCGAUCUAAUGGGGCAUUUCUAGAAAAGCAAGCUGAACUGAAAUUGAGAGUUUGAAGGAAAGAGGAAGAUCGAUUUUGGAGAAUCACAUUGUAGUUUUGUAUUCACCGGUUAACCAAUUGUGACUGUCUUUGUGAUAAUCAUAAUUGUGAAUACAAUAUAUAUAUAUAUAUAUAUAUAUAUAUAUAUAUCAUUGUUUGAAAAAGAUCAAGAGAGAUAUAAAUGUGAUCAAUCGAUCUAGGGUACUGCAUACUAAAUCUACUCGGAGUGUGAUGCCCAUUAUGAGCUGCUAUAUAUUCCUAACAGAUGUAUGUCAACGAGCUCUCAAAGUAUGCUGGUCGCACGGAUUAUUCACCGGUAUGAAUGUUGAAGAGAGGUAAAGAGAAUCAUGGUCGGCCCACCAUGUGCGAGUGGGAGAUGAUGGUUUUAUAUGUAUUGGGCUUAAGGCCCGUUCGCCCAUGCUGGGCCCAAAAGGCCCGCCCCACGGGAAUAGGGCCUGUGGAAGGGGAAGGUAUAAAAGGGAGGAGAGAGAGAGAGAAGACAACGCUUGGCUGAACGUACGUACGUUCUCUCCCUCGCUCUCUCUCCAAAAAGACAAAAAGAACAGUAAGGCAAAUGGCACGUUCUUCUUCCCUUCAAGGCGCCAUCGGAUCGAACAGGACCAGAAUUUAUUCUCGAUCUUCAGCAUUGGUGUCUAAUCUAUGGCUAACAAGGUAUGCUCGAAUCCGUGGUGUGCUUUACGAUCGGUGAUACGUGUUUUCCCGGGUUUCGUCUUCCGCAUUGAUUUAGGGGUUCGAUUGAGUGUCGAAUCCAGUUUUCAGGGAUCAGUCAUUCCCAACAAUUUUGUACUACUUAAGAAAAUUUUUGCACCAUACAUGGCUUAAUUGAAAAAUGUGCAUACUUGUCCGAACACUCUGCAUUAUUUUCCGAGUAUGAUGGCUUCUCUCGUGUUGGAAGUAUGGCACUCAUGGGCGCUGGCAUUCCAUUACGAGAACGUAUAGCAGUGUUCCGGUGGGUCUUGUCGGUGAAGUUGAUCCAGUGACCGGUGAAAUAACUGAUUACCAGAUACUUACUGAUAUACUUUUAAGUGUUACUUUUGUUUGUUUCAUUUGUGCUUAUAUGAAAAGCAAUGCACUUUUAGUUGAUGCUUGAUAGAGAAUCCUUUAAAACCAUGUCCACCUGUAGGAUUAUCCUUGUCUGCAAAAUUUGUGUAUUUUCACGUAUAUCUUAGUUAUCUUUCACAGUUACGGCGCAGAAAUGAUCCUGCAAGUUAACUUGAUCAUUGCUAUUUUACUUACAGGGUUUGAUGAGCAUGUCCUUUUCUAGGGUCUGGAAGAUCAUCUUGGAGAUAUGGACUUUAAAAUUGCUGGCACUAGAAAGGGAGUUACGGCUAUUCAACUGGACAUAAAACCAACUGGAGUACCUCUGGACAUCAUAUGCGAAUGUUUAGAACCUUCACAUAAAGGUCGUCUGCAAAUUUUGGACCACAAUAUACAGAGAAAUCAGUUUACCACAUACCCAGUAUGAUAGAGAUACUCCUCAAUUAGGUCAACUUCUUGACUGUUCAUAGUCCCAUGUUUCAUUAGUAUGAAAAGCCAUGCUUUGACUGAAAUUUCGUUAUUUUAAUUCAGCAACUCUUACGUACAUCAAUGAUGCUCUAUAUGAAAUAUUUUGCUUCACAAAGCACCGAUUACAUGUAAUACGAGAAAAGCAUUAUAUUGGAAAUUGUAAACUUUAUUUUAUUUGGUUACUUAGCUAAUAUUUAGUGGGCAUUUUUUAUUAAAUGCUUACAAAUAAAAUAAAAGUUUACUCAUUUUCCCUAACCAAUAAAUACUUCGAGAUUAUACAUAAACGAGAGCAUUUGUGAAUAAAGGUAGUUUGAAAAGCCCCUGCAUCACGUGCUCUUCUCUUUGAAAUCCGACUAACUCAUCUAAAACCCACUCCACCUCCUCUCUUGGUCUGCUUUGCCUCUGCUCGACAAACCUCGACACCAUGUCUAAACAUUCGCAAGAAGGGAAGCCUAAAAGAAGGAUUAUGACAGAUUAAGAAGUAUGUAGAGACAUCGGAGAAUUGAUCCAAGAUUUGGAAAAAAAGUCAGUGUUUUGCGGGAUCCGAGCACUAACUAUGUGUUGGUAUUCGAUUUCUCCAAUAUCACUUUCUUGGAUGAAAUUAGCAGAGGAAUUGGCAGAGGUGGAAAUAGAUCCAGUGUUUUUAGGGGCAUGCAUCGUGGGCAUUCCGUUGCCCUGAUAAAGUUCCCUACUAGACAUGUCACGAUAGAUGAAGAUGUGGUCAAUGUUUUAAUUGAGAGUCAACAUCAAAACACCAUGCACAAUCAUGUAGUGUCUUGUUACAGGGGAUCCAUAUUAAUACUGUAGAGCUUCACUUAUGUAGCUUGAAUGAUGUUGUUAAUUCUCAAUAUCUGCCCUACUAAUGAACCCUCAAUUGUCCAAUAUAAAAGGAAGAUAAAGGUUGAGGGAUAUCAAAUUGUGGAUUGAUGAUAAACCGUCGUGGAUUAUGCUAAAACUUAUGAGGAAUGCAAAAAAUUUGGAUUAGAUGAUGCAUGACACAGCAAAUUAACAUGUUAUUUGUAUUCUGAAAUACAUGGAUUUGAUACCAGGUCUUGAACUAUAGUACAUGAUAAUUUGAGAUCAGAAAAUAUUUUGAUCAUAGAAUUUGAGGUUCUAUUGGCGAAAUCUCAGAUGUCAAUGUCAUGGAUAGAUCAAUCUAACGUUGCUUAACCCAUGCAGCCUUAACAUUUUUCCCAAGUCAAUUUUACUCACAAUCGACUCAUACUUGUGAAUAAGAUGAUACAAAUGAGGGGAGGAGACUCUUAUAUAUAUUAGUACAAGACAAACCGUAUCCGUAGAUCUCUCCUUGAUUUAACGGUAGAUAUUGCAUCUUUCCAACUUCCAAUUACCUGUAUUUAUUACAUGCGUAUAUAAUUAUGUAUCGCCCACUCCAUAGAGCAUUCUAAAACACUUAAGAAAAUCUUAGAAUUUUGGGAGAUAUGUGGCUCAUAUGGUGAAAUCACAUGGUCAAUAAUCUAGGCGAACUCGAUUUACAUAGUCUAUCAACCACCUGAAAUCUUUUCGUGAUCGACAUUCAUAUCAUGCCGACAAUAUAAUUUGCUUUAUGGCGUCGAGAACAGGCAAUGUGGCAGUAAUGCUUUCUCAUGAUUUGGACCUUCCACGGAAUCUCGCAGUUGCUUGGGUUGGCAGAAAAAAAUAUUUGUCUGAGCUUGGAUUCUAGUCCAAUCAUUUGACUCGCACUAAUUCCCGAUAGAUUCCUAGCCAUCCUCUGCUUUAGUCACAUGGGCACGUCCUCCAAGGAUGGUCCCAAUCUCAAGAAAAUGCGCACGAAAUUGAUCGGCAACGAAGAGAAUUGAGUUCAUGCUUCUUUNNNNNNNNNNNNNNNNNNNNNNNNNNNNNNNNNNNNNNNNNNNNNNNNNNNNNNNNNNNNNNNNNNNNNNNNNNNNNNNNNNNNNNNNNNNNNNNNNNNNNNNNNNNNNNNNNNNNNNNNNNNNNNNNNNNNNNNNNNNNNNNNNNNNNNNNNNNNNNNNNNNNNNNNNNNNNNNNNNNNNNNNNNNNNNNNNNNNNNNNNNNNNNNNNNNNNNNNNNNNNNNNNNNNNNNNNNNNNNNNNNNNNNNNNNNNNNNNNNNNNNNNNNNNNNNNNNNNNNNNNNNNNNNNNNNNNNNNNNNNNNNNNNNNNNNNNNNNUCGAGAUGCGAUCAGUGAAUAAGAUAAUCGCCCGGGGCUGGUCGAUCUGGUUUAAAUAUUUGCUACCACCCCUCGAAAGAAAAAGUCCAAGAAGGACCCACCGUCGGGGGCAAGAACCAAGGUCUUCGAAGACUUGGACUAGGAACAGUCCAGGAACCACCUUAGACAAGAAGGAUUCCGUCAUUUGCAGAGAAUUCAUCGCCACUUUCAUCUCCCGAUUCCCUCCGGUCAUAUACCGUCAGUUCCCCAUAGAUUGAACUCAAAAGAAUGGUGACCCCGCCUCUAAACGACUCCAAGAACCCCAUCGCGGUGGCCGAGGCAGCGCUGUCUGCCGCAGCCUCCGUGAUGGUGGUGCAGUCGGUGGUUCGAACGUUCAUGCCCCCCGAAUUCCAGGGCUUCCUCUUCUCUGGGAUCCGCGGCUUCUUGUCUCGCUUCCGCAGCGAAAUGACCAUGGUCAUCGAACAGUACGAUGGGUACGCCCAGAACGAGCUCUUUGGGGCGGCCCAGGUUUUCCUGGCCGCCAAGCAAUCCCUUUCGAUGACGCGCAUGCGAGUGACCAAGUCCCCGAAGGAGGACCACUUCAAUCUGGCUAUGGACCGGAAUCAAAUGCUGGUGGAUACGUUUCACGGGGUCAAGCUCAAGUGGGUUUUCGUGUCGAGACAGGUCGACUCGGGCCAAGUUCAUCAAGGCUCAACGGUUCAGCACGAAGUUCAGUACUUCGAGCUCAGUUUUCUCAAGAAACACAGGGAGAUCGUGGUCAAAUCCUAUCUGCCUUUCCUCAUCGACGAGGCCAAGUCCAUAAAGCAGGGGAAGAAGACGUUGAAGCUAUACACUCCGGGCUCCAAAGGUAAUUCUACUAUUAGAAGUGGAAAAAGAGUGAUGCUAAAUUCACAAAACUCCGUAGUUCAAUCGGACUAAAUGGGAAGUAUCAUAUCCAGCUCAAAAAUAAGUACUUGCUGCAGAAAAGUUAAUCAGUAAAAUCCUAAAGAACAUUAAGGUCAAAAUUCAGUAGAACCAGCCUUGCACCUUCUUAUCUAUGAUUCUGCGUUCGAUUUCUUCAGCAAAAGACUGAAUUUUGUAUCUCCAUCACAUUUUGUUUCCUAUACGUCCUUACCCAGGUGCGUGGUCCCCAGUGAACCUCGACCAUCCGGCAACAUUCCAAACACUGGCCAUGGACCUAGAGCUCAAGAAGAAGAUCAUGGAUGAUCUCGACAGGUUUGUGAG
RNAcentral lists this long non-coding RNA (58342 nucleotides) under Eucalyptus grandis. RNAcentral's name for it is "long non-coding RNA (EGRA_LNC006063)". The record is from RNAcentral. Lineage: Eukaryota; Viridiplantae; Streptophyta; Magnoliopsida; Myrtales; Myrtaceae.